Molecule: long non-coding RNA, 48172 nt
Filed under: Nicotiana tabacum (common tobacco)
Lineage: Eukaryota; Viridiplantae; Streptophyta; Magnoliopsida; Solanales; Solanaceae
Description: long non-coding RNA (NTAB_LNC017614)
Source: RNAcentral
AAGCAGUGGGUUCGAUUGGGCCAAUGACAUCCAUACCCCAAGCGGAGAAAGGCUAGGGCAAACUUGUUACGUUGAGUUCAUUGGGUGGUACUCGUAUCAUGUCAGCAUGUAUCUGGCAUUGGUGACACUUCUGAACAUACUUGAUGCAGUCUGUUUCCAUAGUCAUCCAGAAAUAGCAUGCUCUUAAUAUCUUCUUGGCUAAGGUGAAACCAUUCAUGUGCGGUCCGCAAAUUCCGACAUGUAUUUCCUCGAGCAAUCUGUAUGCCUCUUUGGUAUCGACACACCGUAGUAAGCCCAGGUCAGGAGUCCUUCUAUAUAGAAUUCCCCCGCUUUGAAAGAAAUGGUUGGCUAAUCUUCGAAGCGUGCGCUUCUGAGUAUGGGUUACAGUCUCUGGGUAUUCUCUCUUUUUCAGGUACUUCUUGAUGUCGCGGAACCAUGGAUUUCCGUCAAUCUCUUCUUCAACAUGAGCACAAUAAGUGAGUUGUUUAUAAAUCCCUAUUGGGAUAGGAUCAAUGAAAUUCUUGUCUGGGUGCUGUAUCAUGGAAGACAAAGUAGCUAACGCAUAUGCAAACUCAUUCUGAGUCAUCGGAACAUGCUUGAAUUCUAUCUUUGUGAACCUCUUGAUCAGCUCUUGCACACAAUGCAAAUAUGGCAUUAUUUUGGUGUUCUUCAUAGCCUAUUCCCCUAGAACCUGGUACACCAAAAGAUCUGAAUCUCCGAUUACCAGCAGCUCCUGAACAUUCAUGUCAAUGGCCAACCUGAACCCCAAUAUGCAAGCCUCAUAUUCUGCUACAUUGUUGGUGCAUGAAAACCUGAGUUUUGCGGAUACCAGAUAGUGUUGGCGGGUUUCUGAUACUAAGAAAGUCCCGAUACCUACUCCUUUGAAGUUUGUUGCUCCGUCGAAGAACAUUCUUCUCCUACAAAUGAUACCUCCUAAUCGGGAAAAUACGUUUUUAAUGGUUCGUAUUCUCCGUCUAUGGGAUUUUAUGCCAGUUGAUCUGCCAAUGCUUUCCCUUUGACUGCCUUCUGAGUUACAAGGACGAUGUCAAACUCGCUCAACAGUAUUUUCCACUUUGCUAACUUACCCGUAGGCAUGGGUUUCUGAAAGAUGUAUUUUAGAGGAUCCAUCCUUGAUAUGAGAUAUGUAGUGUAUGCACAGAAAUAAUGUCUCAAUUUUUGAGCUAUCCACGUCAGAGCAUAGCAGGUGCAUUCCAGCAAAGAAUACCGGGUUUCGUAAGGCGUGAAUUUCUUACUCAGAUAAUAUAUCGCCUGCUCAUUUCUUCCAGUUUCAUCAUGUUGUCCCAAAAGACAACCAAAAGCUCCAUCCAAUACGGACAAAUAAAGCAGCAGAGGCCUUCCUAGUUCUGGUGGGACCAGAACAGGUGGUUUAGAUAAAUACUCCUUGAUUUUGUCGAAGGCUUUCUGACAUUCUUCAGUCCAACUUGUUGCAGCAUCUUUCCUCAACAUCCUGAAGAUUGGCUCACAUAUCACAGUUGAUUGUGCUAUGAAGCGGCUGAUGUAAUUGAGACGCCCUAAAAAUCUCAUCACAUCUUUCUUAUUCUUCGAAGGUGGUAGGUCUUGGAUAGCUUUGACCUUUGAUGGGUCCAACUCAAUCCCUCGGCGACUAACGAUGAAUCCUAACAAUUUUCCUGCAGGCACUUCGAAGGCACAUUUUGGAGGAUUCAACUUCAAAUUUUAUUUUCGAAGCCGGUCGAAAAACUUCUUCAAGUCUACUAUAUGAUCCGAACUCCUUGUAGAUUUGAUGAUAAUGUCAUCCACGUACACCUCUAUUUCCUUGUGUAUCAUGUCAUGGAAGAUGGUUGUCAUGGCUCUCAUGUAGGUGGCUCCAGCAUUCUUCAAACCAAACGGCAUCAUUUUGUAAUAGUAUAUCCCCCACGGUGUGAUGAAGGCCGUCUUUUCGGCUUCCUCUUCAUCCAUCUAGAUCUGAUGGUAUCCUACGAAACAAUCCACAAAGGAUUGGAGUUCAUGCUUGGUACAGUUGUCAAUCAGUAUGUGUAUAUUGGGCAACGAGAAAUCAUCUUUGGGACUUGCUCUAUUUAGAUAUCGGUAAUCAACACAUACUCUAACUUUCACGUCUUUCUUCGUAACUGGUACAAUGUUGGCCAACCAAGUCGGGUAUUCGACCACUCUAAGAACCUUGGCUUUGAUUUGCUUGGUGACCUCCUCUUUUAUCUUCAAACUCAUAUCUGGCUUGAACUUUCUGAGCUUCUGCUUUACCGGUGGACACACGGGAUUAGUGGGUAGCUUGUGAGCCACUACAUAUGUGCUCAAACCAGUCAUAUCGUCGUAGGACCAUGCAAAGAUAUCUUCAAAUUCUUUUAGGAAUCUGAUGUACUUUUCCUUCUCUGAUUGUUAUAGAUGAAUGCUUAUACGUAUUUCCUUGACCAUUUCGGAAUCCCCUAAGUUAGCAGUCUCAGUUUCCUCCAAAUUAGACUUUGGUUUGUUUUCAAAGUUUUCCACCUCUAUGAUGAUUUCCUCAGGUAUUAUAUCAUCUUUUAGAUCCUCCAAAUCACUAUCCUUAUGUCGCAUUAUCUCAUUACAUGUCACAGUUGUAGGUUCAUCGGGAUAAGUAACAAUAAUGCUGAAAACGAAAAUGUAAAGAAUAAUAAUAAAUACAAAAAGCAGUAAUGCAUUAAUAAAAUGUUAAAACAUCAACAAGUACGACUUAAUGACUCGAGCAAUUAUUUCUAAACAAAAUACUGAAAAAUAUCUCAAAUGCUCAAAACUAUUUUUUAAAAGUAAUUCAUGCUAAUUUUCCAAGCUACCCAGGAACUCGACGGGCCCGGGGUGGUGCAACAAUCUAGUUCUUGAGAAAAACUCCUUUCUCCACGGUAUGAAUAGUAAGGUCUUCCUCCUCCUCCUCCUCAACUAUUGCACUGCAGUCCAUAUCCUCUUCGUCUAGAAAUAACUUCCUCAUGCCCGCUAAAACUUCAUCUUCCUCGGAUCCCCACAUCAUGUCAGCUUGAUGGAAUGUCUGGUGUAGAGAUAGUACCGGUUGUUCCAGUGGAUAAUAAGGACCAUGCCAUGGUGGUGAGAAAUCCUGGUACUCCUGCUAUAUGUAUUCAUAUCCGAGUCCAAAAGUCGUGCCAUGACGCUGUGGUUGUACGAGUUUGGUGAUCCCUUGGAGAUUUUUGCUGAGACCCUUGCCGGGUUCAUACCUGUCCAUAGCAGUAUGCUUUCUAUCUUGUUGCCCCACCAUCGGUCCUUUUCAAUUACGUUGACUCACUCAAUGCGAUGGUAUGUUUCUCCACCCAGCUUCUUUCUAUUUUCGAUGAUUGGAACGAUCUGAUUAGUGUAGAUGGGGUUACUUCCAUCUCUAUGAAUGAUCACCUCUAGAUGAUUCCACUCAAAUUUCACAGCCUGAUGCAGGGUUGAAGCCACUGCACCAGCAGCAUGUAUCCAUGGUUGUCCCAAUAAUAGGUUUUAAGUAGCAGAUAUAUCCAACACCUAAAACUCGACAUCAAACCAAGUCGGGCCCAUCUAUAGACUGAGGUUGAUCUCUCCAAUGGUAGCUCUCUAAGAUCCAUCAAAUGCUUUCACAUUCAUGCUUCCCAUCUGUAUCUCAUGCAGGCCUUUACCUAAUCUCUUCAGAGUAGUUAGUGGGCAUAUGUUGAGACUUGAACCCCCAUCUAUCAGGACCCUGGCGAUGAACUUAUCCUCAAAUUGCAUUGUGAUGUGUAGUGCCCUAUUGUGACUCAAUCCUUCUGGUGGUAAUUCAUCUUCAUGAAAGGUGAUUCUGUGACUCUCCAAUACCUGUCCGACCAUGUUAGCCAUCUCCCCACUAGUGAUGUUGGUGGGUACAUAAGCUUCACUCAACACCUUCAUCAAAGCAUUCCUCUAUGUGUCUGAGUUUUGCAACAGUGACAAGAUGGAUAUCUGAGCGGGAGUUUUGUUCAAAUGGUCAACAACAGAGUACUCUCUUGCUUGCACCUUCCUCCAAAGAUCAUCAUUGCCAGUCUUGACAAUAGGCGGCUUAGAUGCAGCUUCCUUGCUUGUUCCUCCCAGGUUCUCAGGUGUGUAAACUCGGCCAGUUCUAGUCAUACCUUGUGUUGCCCCUGUUUCCUCUAUUUUUGCUUUUCCUUUUCUCCUUGCUUCUGCAACACAGUCCCAUGGGAUGGCAUCAAACUGGUAGGAUGGCGUGGGAGCUACUAUCACGGUGAAUGGUGUAGAUACCUCAACUUUAAAUGGCACCUGGGUUUGGACCACAACCGGCGUGAGGGUGACUGGAGACGUUUUAGGAGCAUAUCCCUCUCGAAUAAGUCCUAUUGACCCCUUCGAGUCCCAUUCUUCAUCUGUCUCUAUCACAUUCACUUCCUCACCUCUAUGAUCUGGGAGAGGAUUAUUACAAACAUUUGGUGCAGCUUCCUUUGCCUAUAUGACCUUAGUGUCGAUCAAUGUCUGAAUUUUAUCUUUUAAUGUGCGGCACUCAUCAAUGGUAUGACCCUUCAUGCCUGAAUGAUAGGCACAUGUCUUGUUGGGGUUGAUCCACUAGGAAGAAUUAUCCAUAGCAACGGCAGGAAUGGGAGUGACAUAACGAGCAGCCUUCAGCCUCUCGUACAGUUGGUCUAUGUGUUUGGCAAUUGGGGUGUAUUGUCUAGGUGGUCUUUGGUCAAAAUUUGGUCGUGGUUUUUGGUAGUUUUGGCGGGCGGGUGGUGGAGAGUGGUAAUAUGCGGGUUGAGUAUUAUAGGCAUGAUAGGUGGUAGCAAGUUGUUUGUAUCUGGGGGGUGAUGGUUAGUAUGUGGGUGGAGGUGUUUGGUAUGUGAGAGGAUACUUGGGACCCUGGGCUACCAUUACGGCACCUACUUCUUUCUUUUUUGAAAUACCUCCCGAUUGCAAAGCUUUGUCCGUGGCCUGCAGCGCCUCAAAGUUGGUUACCAUCCCACUCUUAAUCACUUCUUCUAUUCUUUCUCCUAGCUUGAUGAUGUCGGAGAAUUUGUGAUUUUCAAUAACCAUUAACCUUUCAUAAUACUUCCGGUCUUGAGCUCUGACGAAGAACUUAUUCAUUUGUUCUUAUUCAAGUGCUGGCCUUACUUUCGCGGCUUCUGAUCUCCAACGAGUAGCAUACUCGCGGAAAGUUUCUGUUGGCUUCUUCUUGAGGUUUUAAAUGUAGAAAAUGUCUGGCACAUUUUCCGUGUUGAAUCUGAAUCUGUCCAUGAAGUCUAAUGCCAUGCUUACCCAACUAACCCACUUCUUCGGGUCUUGACUGAUGUACCAAGACAAAGCAUCUCCUAUGAGGCUUCACAUGAACAACUUCAUACAGAUUUGUUCAUUCUUGCCCACUCCUAUAAGUUUGUCACAAUAUGUUCUCAGAUGCACUUUCGAAUCACCAGUCCCAUCGAACAUUUCGAACUUGGGAGGUUUGUAACCCUCCGGCAGUUCCACAUCCGGCUGAAUACAUAGGUCCUCAUAGUUUAGACCUUCAACGCCUUUACUGACUUCAACAUUUUGAACUCUACCAGUGAGCUUCUUGAGUUCCUCUGCCAUGUUCUUAAUGAGCAGGUCUUUUUCGAUUGAUUUGGGUAUGUAUAGGGCUUGUUGCAGAGUAUGGGGUAAAGUUUACACAUAUAUCAGAUUACUUUGGUGGACUCCGGGAACUUGGGUACAAGGGUGGUCAUUAGUUGAGUUUUGGGGAUCAGGAAAAGGUUGUGGUGCAUUAUGGAGAGUGUGAUAAGUAGUGGUUUGUGGGUAUUGAGCUGGAUGAUGAAGGUGUUGUUAAGGAGUUGGUACUGGUGGAGGAUUAAGGUUCUGAAGAGGUGUGGGAUACUGGUGUGGUGCGGGAGGAUUUGGUGGUGGGUUUUGGUUUUGUAUGUUUUCUGGUGGUGUCUAGUUCUGGGUAGUCAGAUUUUGCUGGUAAAUGUCGGGGACAUUGAGAGUGAGGGAAAAGGUUUGCCAAGUUUCAGACCUGCUCAAGUUCGCCUUGUAGUUCCAAGAUUUUCUGUUCCAGAUGUAAGACCAAUUCAUUCUGCGCCGGAGUACUUCGACCAUCCGAGGUUUCAACAUUUUCUGCCACGGUAGCAUUGUCUUUUCUGAUACCACUCAAAUCAUCCAUCUUCCCUUUUCCUUUGCCUUUAGGAUCGCUUGGUGAAGGAGGAGAUGGAGGACCUCUGGAUCUAGUGUGAUAUGUUGACGAUUCCAGUAUGCACGAACCAACCUUGGAGAAUGGGAAUAAUCAAAAGAAAAGGAAAACAAAACAAAAGGUAGCCAAGUUAGUAAGAAAUAUUGAAAGAAUACUUGCGGUAUUAAAACAUGUUUUGCAAAGUCAUGCAAUAAUUCGCAUCCUAAUUUGGGGGGAACUCAUUAUGCCUGAGGUAGGUCUAAGUGACACAUAGACUUAGAGAAAAUUGAUGCCAAUAAUUGCGUCAUUUCAUUAAUGCGAAAAAUGAGCCAAACCUUUACUAAAUCAACAAUAAUAAUAAAGUUACUAAUGGCAUUUAGCCUUAUUACAAUCGAAAUCUAAAGCUAAGCUAGAAAGUAGUAAAAACUAUCAUUUCCUAGUCUACUUGGUCCCUGAAGGACCUUCCCCGUGCUUGGCUCUUUUGACUCCAUCAAUCAGGUUCCCCAGAUCGCGCAUAUCCAACAGUAAGUAAGCCUUUGCUAGAUGCCCUCCUUCGCUGCCAUCCGUGCUUUGAAAAUCUGAGAGUCUCUUCCUCAUCUUUCCUUCAAGUUCCAUCAAUCCUUGUUCCAAGUAUUCCAACCUCUCUGUUGACAUAGUGGCAAUUUCUUUCCAUUCUUUUAUUGCCUCCAUAUUCACUUUGUGUUGUUCCAAAUGAUUAGCUUCAGACUCGAAAACCCUUUUGCGUAGCCUUCUAUACUUAACCUAUGCCUCAGCAGCAUCAUCAAUGAUCCUAUAUUUUAGAUUGACUCCUGGCUUAACGUCUCCCGUUAUAUCGUCCACCAACCACGAUGGAUAGAAAUACACAUGACCGGCACGAUACCUGUCUGGCUCAAUGGUUUCUUUUUCCACAAUGAUCUUCUGGUUCCACAUAUGUUGCGCCUCGAACUUGAAUGGAAUGACGUCCCCUUUGAAAUUUGCCUUGUAUCGGACCAUGUUGGAAACCCGAGGUAUGAACUGUUUUCUUCCCGCUUGUCUCAUUACCUUUAUAGGAGCAUAAGGAUAGAUGCCUCGCAACCCUAUUAGUACCAGAUGAGUAGUCUUUCUUGACCUGAUGAUGAACUCACUGCUAGGAAACCACUCGAACAUCCAAAGUACUUGCUCGUCUGUCAGAUUGCUGAAGAAACGCACCUAACUUACAGCAUUUCUAGGUUGUGCAAACCUGUCUGGGAUAAAUGUCAUUUUCUUUGGGUGAUGGUAAGCUAUGUGGUCAUUCAACGGCCGUCGCACAAGCUCUUGACGAUAUUCUCCUCUCUGAAAGUGUUCCAAUAGCCAAACUUGUAGUAACAGAUUACAACCUUCGAAGUGUCCAAAUCCCUGCUUGCAUCGAUCUAGAGAGCGGUAUAUUUCAGCUAAAAUCAUAGGGAUGAUGGUAUAAGUUUGUCCUUCGAUGCCUUCCAUCGAAGUCCUAGCGACCAUGGCUAAGCGAGUAUGGAUCCUUCCCCCUUUCAUUGGAAAUAUCAAUAACCCCCAAGAAGCAGACGAUGAACACAUAAACCCGGCGGUGUGUCCAACCCAAGGAAGUAAUGGCAAGUUCAUCAUGAUGAAGACAAUAUGACUUUCUAUGCCCAUACCAUUCGUAAAGAAAUUUGAAAGGGAUGUAUGACUUCUUUAAAUAGAGCAGCUCGUCAUUUUUCUUGAAACCCAGCAUUUUUAGAAAACCGCGGGGGGUGCGAUUCUCUGGCACUGGUAAUCCUGGACUAUCCCAUGGCAACUUAGCAAAACCUCCUAUUUUUUCCAGGAGAGGAGUCAUUUCUAUGUCGCCAAAUCGAAAGACGGCCCUUUUCUCAUCCUAGAACAUGGUAGUGGCCUCAAUCAAUGACCUAUUUGGCUGAUAGUUUAUCAAGGAUGGCAGGUUACCCAAUACUCUUGUCACAUGGUUCUUGUCGCAAGGUGCAAGGUCUUUCCACCAGUCGAGUAGCGAGGGUGGGAUGUUUUGGACCAUACCGAACCUGGGGACUACGUGCCUCAUUUUCUGCAAACAAACAAAAGUUAGCCCUUUUCCCCCGGUAUAUUUGACUAUUGACGUAAUAAUGAUCAACAUAUUGGCUCAUUUUCUCCAAGAAAUGCACAUAAUAUGAUAGUGUCCAUUGGGAUUAUGGAAAUCCCGUCGGACUUUGGACAAGGUUUAUCUUCGCGGGUUGUUACGUUAAUAACGCUCCAAUCCGUGCUAGGUUUAGCAUGAUGCAUGUACAUUUUAAGUUGGAGUAGGGUUUCUAGAAUGGUCUAGACUGGUACUGCCAAGUGGACAACUUGAGAGGGAAAGGCACGGGACAGUCGAUUGCACCGCUGAUCGAUAGUCUAGCGCAAGUAAGCCUUUUCGAUUUUAAAAGGGUAGUUUUGGAAGAGCGCGGACACUCUUCAAGCGCCGCUAUGUUGAUAAUUGGCACGAGUGGAGUAUGACGUGGAGCAUGCUUUAUGCAGAAAUAAUAACGUUGCCAAGUAUUUGCAUGAUAAAAUAUGUAAAAGCAGUAAAUAAGAUAGCAAAGGUAAUCAUGGAAAGAACAGAAAAGAAAGACAAAAGGAAGAAGUCAGUUUAGUUCGUAGAAUAUAUGCAAGAAUGUAAUAAAGUAAGUAAGGAAGUAGGCAUGAUAUAGCAAUUUUGAUAAGAUAAAAGAGCGGUCAUAGCAAGUAAAGUUGAAUAGGGGGUAGGGAUGUGCAUGUCAUAGCAGAUUUAAACAAAUAAAGGUGAGUGGGGGAAGGGAUGUGCAUGUCGUAGCGGAUUUAAACAAAUAAAGGUGAGUGGGGGAAGGGAUGUGCAUGUAACAAAGAAAGUAAUCCACAUAAGCCAAGCUCAUUAUGGUAAGAGCCUAAGUGUAAAUCCCCAGCAGAGUCGCCAUGCUGUCGCACCUUGUUUUCUCGCGAGAGCGGGUUUCGAUGUGUGACAACUCUUUUAAAUGGGUAUUAAAAGAGAAGAGUCGUCACCUAACGAUUUUAAGGUCUGUUAGGGCACCUAUUUGCAAAUAACUCUAUUUUAACUAGUCAACGCCACCAAAGAUGGGGUAAAGGAUCAAAUUACCUCAAAGAGAAGGUGUUAGGCACUCUUCGAGGUCCACAACUAUGGGUCCCGACCGAACUUAAAACUAUGUGGAUUAGGCUAGGUGAUCAAAUAAACAAAGAAAUAUAAAAAGUCAAAGAUUUUAUUAUAACACAAAGGGAAUUGGUACUAAUCUUUAAUGAUUAUAAGGAUACUACAACAUUGGUCUAUGUUAAAUGACUAAGCAUAUAAAAGAAAGGGGGUCCUAAGUUUUUUAGCCUGAAGGAUCACCCCGUGUNNNNNNNNNNNNNNNNNNNNNNNNNAUAGACUAUCAUCUCUUGCUACCCAAUUACUAUGUUGAAGUUAUUUACCUAAAGCAUUCUAAUUCAAUUCCAAGUCGCAUCCUAUGCGUGCACUACCCGUCCCAUACCUAUGGUCCAGGAGGCUUUGGACCUCUAUUUGGGUGGUUCUAGACUUACUUAGGCUGCUCAAAAAUGAUAAAACUAAUCGAGCAUUCAAAAACAAAGAGGACUGCACAUAAUAGCAAAGAGUGGCUCAUGUUAGCCUCCACACAUAAACGAGAAGCACGCAGACUGAUUUUCAGAUUAAGCAAUAGAACGUUUUGAACUUGAGACUCAGAAUCUUUUGGUCCUAUAGGCAUGAUCUCUAUAUGAUUCCAAUAUCAAACAGGCAAUGCUGUAUUUUAGACUAAUGUACAGAUUAAAUCAUUAUAAGUCCUAUAGACAUGGUUUCUAAGUGAUUCUGAUUUUAGCAAUAUACAUGUAACGGAUUUGCAGAUUACAAAAACCUAUAGGCAUGAUUUCUAGAUUAUUCGCAAAAGGCAGUGAAACUACUCCAGAACGAUGAACUACCAACGCUGAUUUUGUAGACAAGUUCGUUAGGAAGGUGACAGUGUCCUAGAAGCAUGAUAUCUAAUAGUCGGCGAUUGACAUUGAUUUUAUAUAGUUUUAUCCCUAUAGGCAUGCUAUCUAGAUGAGCAAUACAAAUGAUAUUGGCAACUGAUUAUUAAACCCAUAGGCAUGAGCAGUACAGUGAUAAUUGAGGCAACAGAUAGAUUAAUCAUUUGAAGUCCUAUAGGCAUGGCACCUAGGUAAGUAGAAUAUUGCAUUGCUACGCCCUAUAGUCAUGUUAUUUAAGAAAACACGGUAGUGGAGACUAGUACAGCAGAUACUUGAAAUAGCAUGCGUUGGCCAGUUAAGUGAUGUGUGUGUGUGUGUGACUCCCAUAGGCAGAGGCUUUCUACUCAUGAAGUUAAACAUGUGAAGCACAUCGCGAAUAAAUCACAUAGAACCUAUAUGCAUGCUUUCUACCCAUUUAUGUGAGAAUUAGAGUACCCUACCACUCUUUUACUAAUCUCCCCAUCUAUUUUUGCUCAGAAAUUAUUACAGACCCCAAAAUAAUGAAUACAAGUGCGAAUAUUAUAUAUUAAAAGGCUGCAGGCCCAAUACACAGAACAGGCCCAAAAGAAUAUAACCCAGUGACACCUGGGCCUUCAGUAAGCUUCUCCUUUCACACUAACAGUGAACCCAGGACCCAACAUGUUUCAGAGUGAGAAUGUAUCAGCUACACACCCAGGGCCAUACACAAACUCAUACCAAGCUUAAAAGGGGAAACCAUACAUGAUAACCAAUUGACAGUCCUAAAGCCUAUUAACAGUGGUCAUAAUUCUUAGAAGCUAAGGGAACAAGAUUGGUUAAACAAGAGGGCUUGAGCAUACCAACUGGGUAGACAACUUUGGCAUAGCAAGUUUGACAUAGAAGAACUAACACCAUAUUGAACAAUUAUUCAACAAAGGGAGGGUAUAGCAUACUGAGCAUAGUUACACAUUAAGAAGGCUGAAGAGGCAAGUCUGUAGAGUUGACGGGACAAACACACACAUAUACUAAUUUCUCAGAAAUCAACUUAGCACAAGACAUUAACCAAAAUGUCAGAAAAAGAUUUUAAAGAGGCGAGCCUUAUUUAAAACAAUCACAGUUAGAGGGAUAUGCAAUUUCACAUGAAGAUGACCAUAAGCAGCAUAGCAACAAACCAAUGACAUGGUUUACCAUAAACCUCAUCAGUGUCCUCACCCGUGAGCACUUAAAAGGGAAUGAGACAAGCAAGCAUAACUAUUCGUACCAAUUACCUAGGCGGCAGAGAAACUAACAUAGCAAUUUGCCCUAGAAGCCAUUCUAAACCAAACAUGCAACAGAACUUAAAUGGAAACAUGCUUUAGAUAAUUGAUAUAGUCUCAGAGAUCUAUCAUAUUGGGCAAGAAGAACUCAGCAAGGUCUAGAAUACAAACACAGAAAUACAGGACAAAGUAGAGAACUACAUUAGUCUAGAAACACCUAAUAAAGUUAGAAUCCAUUCCAAUAAUGAAAGCAUCUUACAUGUGCUGAAACCUACUGAAUUCAAUUAAUAAAGAACAUGGAAUUGCAUGGGAUUAUAAGAUAAUAUCAUAGCAGUACAAUAUCAGGGAUCCAUGAAUAACAUGGAAACCGAGUCAUGCUUAUAGAAUUUAAACAACAUCAACACAUAGAAAACAUACGUCAUAGAUAAAUAGAAAGGAAAAUAGUUAACAUUGCAAGAGUUAAGGACACUAGCCAGUAGCAAAGUUAAACGAACACAAGAAUGAGGAGUUAGAAUAAUGGUAGCAAAAGAACCCCAAAUCCCCGAUGCUUCAGAGUUCACAAGAGCCUCGAGAAGGGCUCCGAGCAGUGCUUGCACCGGAGGAGGUUGUUUUAAAAAUAUUAUAGCCUUGGCUUUCAGCCGGCCAAGGAUUGAACGAUUACAGAAAAUAUUCAAGUAUCUUAGAAGAAGUGAACGAGUGAGAGAAGAGUGUAGCGAAUGUACUAGUAGUGAAAAUUAGGUCCCUCCUCGAGGGGAAAUUGGGGAGGGGUUUAUAUAGUGUUCAAAUGUAGCGGACGAAUAUGGAAAAUCAUCAGUCAAACAUAAGAAAGGAAAGAAUAUAUCACAUGCAAUCAAAAUCAGUAAGGAAAAAGCAAAAUCUCAAACCCUAGUUUGGUCCAACGGUCUUGAAUUGAACCAAUAAUGCAAGAAUUGUUCAUUGUAGAGUAUAUAUAGACGAAAAAUCAUCCAGAUCCUCAUAAAAUCGGAAUCAAUCAGGCAUGUUCUUGAAAGGUAGUUCUUGCCAAAAAUAGGGCAAGAAUUAAGUAACACCACAGACACGCACAUAAUAGUAAAGUAUCACAAAAUAGGUAAGUAGAUCAUGGAUUGAUUCCAUGUUUAGGUUGGAAUCAGAGAGGAUUAAGGGUAUGGCGGCUAGGGUUUCUCAGAGACGAGUGGAGUGGAGAGGUUUUAGCGGCGGCUAUUAGGUGGAAAAUGAGGAUUAGGGUUUAGGUUGGGUUAAUUAAAAGGGGGAAUGAACGAGGGCCGUUGAUCUUGAGAGAUCAACGGCCAGGAUAAAAAAUUGAACGGGUGGUCGUUUGAAGUGGGUUGUGACCGGGCUUUAGUAAAGGAUCAUUUGGCUUGGGCUGGGGUUGUUGGGCUGAGGAUUUGGGCCAAAUUUUAUCCAAAAUUGGCUUAAAGUUGGGCCAUAGUUUAAAUACACAAAAUUUAUAAACAAAAUAAUUUAUAAAAUUAAUUAAUAAAUAGUAAAAAUAUUACUUAUGCAUUAAAAUGAUUGGAAAUAAUAAUUUAGCAUUAUAAAAUACUAUUUUGGCACAAAUAAUGUAAUAAAAACGUAAUUAUGCAUGAACAUAGGCUAUUAUUGCAAAAAUUACAUGAAUAACUAAAAUAUAGAUGUAAUUAUAUAAAAUAAAGUAAAACAUAAUUAAACACAUACGUGGAUAUAAAAUGAUAAAUUUGGAUGAUUAAGUCAUCAUAGAUAAUUUAAAGGGAUAAUAUUUAAGUAAUUUAAAUGCAAAAAAUUAAUUUUAAAACUCUAAAAAUUGCAGAACAUUAUGGAAAGUACUUGUAUAAACCUUGUAAAUCAAAUAAUGAUGCAAAAUAGACAUUUUGAAAAUAUAUAUACUAUUUGAAAAAAUAUGAGGGCAAAAUUGGGUAUCAACAGUCCUCACUAUCUGUGAGAGAAUAGAAAGAUAAAGACUUAGAUUUCGAAAUCAACAAAUUCACACGAAAAGGAAUCAAAGAAGUGGAAUUUCCUAACAGUUAUGUAUUCUCUCAAGAAAAGUAUAAACGUCUCCAUACAAAUCCGCAAGACUCUACUAAACUUGCUUAUGACUCGUAACACCUAUGAACCUAGAGCUCUAAUAUUAACUUGUCACGACCCCGAUUUCCCUACCUUAGGAUAUCGUGAUGCACCUAGUCUCUAAGACUAGGUAAGACUAACAUUCAUUGAUAGCUUUAAAAAAAUAACAAACUAAGAUAAUAAAAUAAACCGAUGAAGCGCAUAAUAAGUUCAAAAUGGAACAUCAGUAACAAAAUUCCCAAAACAGGUAGAACUGAGUCAUAAGCUCUACAUAACGGAUUUUAAGGCAGUAUAGGCAACAAGAAGUGAACACAUGAUGAGAACAAGUAAUCAAAUAAGGACAAAUACAAGUAAGACAAUGAAGAAACAACAAGAACUAAUCAGCCAACAAGCCUUUUUAACAUAGAAAGUACAACAAGAAUCAUAAUCGAGGUACCACACCGCAUAACCACAUUUCACAAAUAACAAUCACAAUCUUCCUUAUAUCACCCGCGUGAGCAUUUCAUUUAUUUAAAAAUAUUUUUUCCGAAAUAGCUACACGCGUUUUAGCCGCCUUAUCUCACCGUGUGGCUUCAAGUAAUUCCCUUACUAGCAACACGCGUAUAAAUCCCACCUUAUCUCACUGCAGGUGUAUAGACCCCUAUCCUUAUACCACCACAUGCGUAUCAAUAUCACAACACAAUAAUCAACUCGCACCACAUGUACCUAUAUGCCAUAACACUUGCCAAAAUUAACAAUACCAAUGUUACCACAACAUAUAGCCCAUGGCUCAACCACAAUAUGUACAAGAAUCUCAAUAAUAACAAAAUGAAUGAGAAAUACUCAACAAGAAAAAGUAUCUUAACAAUCAACAACUUCAACCUCAAUGUGAUAAUAGCUUUCACAACUUCAACAUCAAUAACCAACAAGAAGAUAUUCCUACCAAAUGACAACUUCAAAUAAGAGUAAUUCAACAAUAAAAGAAGUAACAAGGCAAUAAGAGACGUAACAACAUCAACUAAAGUAUAUAAGAGAAAAUAUAACAAUAAAAGAUAGAACAUAUGCUAACAACGUCAAUUAAAGCAUGUGAGAGUAAAUUUAACAAUGAAAGAUAUAACAUGUUAUAACGAUUUCAAUUAAAUGCAUGGAAGAACUCUAAAAGUCUAAACCAGUCAAAAUAUCACAUAUAAGCCCGUGUACACACUUGUCACCUCGUGUACACAUCUUCCACAUAAAUCAAUUAACACAAUUAACCCAAAUCCUAAGGGGUAGUUCUCCCACACAAAGUUAGGCAAGAUACUUACCUCAACUAGGCCAAAUCAACAUCAAAAAUAGCCUUUCCCUUAAAAUCCGCCUAAGCAUGGCUGAAAUCUAACCAAAAAUGACUUAAUAACAUUAAACAAUGCAUGAGAAACCAAUUACGAUAGAUAAAGCUAUGAUCUUUACACAAGUCCCCAAAAGUCAACAAAAGUCAACCAUGGCCCGCUCAGUCAAAACCCGGGUCCAAAGGUAGAUUCUGACUACCCAUAACCUCACAAGUCAGUAUAUGUGUUUUGUUUUCAAAUUCGAGUCCAAUUUGACUCUAAAAUCCUAUGUUUUAAUUUUUCUAAACUUAGACAAAAAUCCCUAAACUUUCUCUUUGAUUCUCAUAAAUUUGAUGUUAAAUCUCAUAUAUAAUCAUGAAAUAUAGUUGAAAAUUGAUUAAAACUAAUUACCCAAUGAUUGUAGAUGAAAAUCCCCUAUCAAAAUCACCUCUUACCGAGUCUAGGGUUCCAAAAUGAGAGAAAAUGAUAUGAAAUCCCACAUUUCAACCGUUUGUUCAGUUGCAGAUGUCGCAAUUGCAACACUGGGUUCAUAAUUGCGAAGGAAACCUUGCAAAUGCGGCACAUGUCAAACCCAGGAGAUGUCGCAAUUGCGACACAGACCUCGCAAAUGCGAAGUCUGUCCUCCUCGUAAAUGCGACCAAAUUAUCGCAAUUGCAAACUAACCCACCUAAGCCUAGACUUCACAAAUGCAAACCAAGUAUCACAAUUGUGAUACCUGAGUCCCCCUAUCAUGUUCGCAAUUGCGAUGUUGUUGCUCGCGAUUGCGAUAACUGCUGCACCAGCACACCAGCAACCUAUAUUUGAGUCCAAACCUUUCUGAAACACGUUUAAAACUCACCCGAGCCCUUGGGGCUCCAAACCAAAUAUCCACACAAGUCUAAAAAUAUCAUACGAACUCACUCGCACGAUCAAAAUACAAAAAGAACAUCUAGAACUAUAAAUCGAACAUCAAAACACAUGAAUUUCAAAGAAAAGUUCAAGAACCUCUAGAAUUGCAACCAAGCAUCCGAAUCCUAUCAAACUAACUCCGAAUGACACCAAAUUUUCAGACAAGUUCCAAAUAGCAAACGGACCUAUUCCAAGUCUCAAAACCAAAUUUCUAACCCAAUAGCCAAAAGUCAACCUACGGUCAAACAUGGAAAAACUUCUAAACCUCAAAUUGCCAACUUUCAAAAAAAUAAGUUAAAUCAACCUAGGGACCUCCGAAUUUGAUUCUGGACAUACGCACAUGUCCAAAAUUACGAUACGAACCUAUCAGAGCCAUCAAAAUAUCGUUCCGGGAUCGUUUUCACAAAAUUCAAACUUUGGUUAACAUUUCUAUCUUAGGCUUCUAAGCCAAUAACCAAAGGGUCCAAAUCAACUCAAAACCUUACAGGAACAAAACUAACCAACCCUGCAAGUCAUAAACCCAUAAAUAUACAUAUGUGAAGCAUCAAAAGGGGAAACGGGACUCAAAAAAAGGGAAAACGGCCGGUCGGGUCGUUACAAUCAUGAGUGUAUUACACUCUCUUUAUAAUUUUGCUGGUUGUCGAAAAAGUUUUUAAUAGGUACAAAUUUUUAGUAGUUAAAGUGUUCAAUAAGAACAAAUUUUAGAUAAUGUAUCAAUAAAAAAAUUCGAAUAAGUUUAGGGGGCUACAUAUGACUUUAUCCAAAACCUAUAAAAUGAAAUAUGAUUGACAAAUGCGAGAAACUAAAGUAAAUAUAAAGGAAAAUAAUUAUUAUUGUUAUUGUGUUACUUGUACGUUAGGAAAAUUGUAUGCAUGUGUGUCUUAGUUUUUUUUUAAGUUAUAAAUUCUUCUAAUACAAUCAAUGCCAUGUUUGAAAAAAAUAUAAAAAGAUUUUCGAACCCAAAAUAAAUAUGUUUUGUUAGUAAAUAAACUGUCACGACUCAAAUCCCUUCUUAGGAGUCGUGAUGGCACCUAGUCUCCAAACUAGGUAAGCCGAUCACUUAACAUUAUUUAGAACAAUAAAAACAUGGUAUAACGAAAAUAGACUUUAACAUAAAUGCAAGAAUAGGAGUAAUACAGGUCAGAGCGGCAAUACACAACAUAACUUCCUAGAACUAGGUAGUACAGAGUCACAAGUUCUAACUGAAUACACGAGAAUAUCCCAAAAAUAAGGUACUAUCUGAAAUACAUAAACAGUAGAAAUGAAAUAAGAGGGUGACUCUGAGGCCUGCGGUCAGAUCAUGCAGGGAUACCUUAAAGUCUCUGGUGUAUGAAAUGCCUCACUUCCGACCAGUCCGGUCUGAAGUACCUGGAUCUGCACAAAAAUAUACAGAAGCAUAGUAUGAGUACACCAUAAUCGGUACCCAGUAAAUAUCAAGACUAACUUUAGUGAAGUAGUGACGAGGUUCAAGUCGUUUGAUAAUCACUAGACAAAUAACCUGUGCAAUGAAUUAUCAAAGUAAGACUGAAAAUUGAAAUUGAAAUAUAACUGAAACUAAUAAUCACCAUCCCUUUUAAAACAUGUAAUAACAACUCAGUGUAGUAAAACUCAUCUUUGGAUCAAGAAACAUCAAAUAAAGGUAAGGCAUGUGAUAAAAUGUCAAAUACAACCAUUAACUCAGGUAAGUGCAAAAACAUAAGCUUCUAGAACAAUUAUGAGAAUGAAAUAUCAAUCCCGUCUCAACACAAUCACAAAAACAAGGAGGCACCCCGAAAUAUCACAUGACAUCAUCAAAAUGCUACCCUUAUUACGCCGAAUGUGCACACAAUAAUGAUUUGCCACAAUUAUUCCGCCACAUGCGCAUAUAGACACCCUUAUUUUGCCACGUGGGCAGCCCGAGAUAAUGCCACCCUUAUUUCGCCCCACACGCACAACAAUAGACACAAUCGCAUGACAAAAAUCUCGUGCUGACACCCCCAACUAAUCCGCUCAACACUUCCAAAAGUGCCAUGGUACCACAAACACAAUAAUGCCAAGUGCCACAAUAUCACAACAAUGCUACCAAAGUUUCAUCAAAGUAUAAGUUUACCACUUUCAACAACCAUGCACGAGGAUAUAACAAAUAAUUAUAGAGGCGGAGAGGUGAAUAAAUAAAGCAUGAAUAUAGCUAAGUCAAUGAAAUGAUCAUGAUCAAGUAGUCAUAAAGUGAUAUCAACAAGUUUCAUAUAAAGUUCAUUAUAACAUUAAGGCUUAUUAAUAGCCUACGGUCUAUUUCGGUCAAAACCACACACAGUGCCCAUAUACACGUCAUCACAUCAUGUAUACGUUACUUUUUACGUCAUGUAAGUCGUCAAAAUAGGGCUAUAACCUAAGGGGUAUUCCCCCACACAAGGCUAGGCAAGAUACUUACCUCAAAUAAGCUAAAUCAAUCGUUAAAAAGACCUUCCCAUGAAAAUCCACCUACCGACGGCUCGAAUAUAGCCAAAAUAACUUAAUAUCAUAAAUAAAAUCCAUAGGAAACGAUCUAGAAUAAUAAAGCUUCGAUCUUUAAUUUAAAUCAAAAAGUCAACCCCAGGCUCGUACCGCGGAACCCGACAAAACUCACAAAUUCUGAAUAGCCAUUCCGAUACGAGUCUAACCAUACCAAUCUGAUCCAAUUUCGACCUUAAAUCGGCCUUCAAAUCAUCAAUUUAUAUUUUAGAAACGUUUUUACUAAAAUUCCCAAUUUCUUCAAUUCAAUUCAUCAAUCAAACACUAAAAUCGAGGUUGUAAUCAUGAAAUAUAAACAAAUUUGAGUCAAAAAUACCUACCCCAAUCCAAAUCAUCAUAAUCCCCUCCAAAAUCGCCAAAAACCGAUCUCUCUAACUCAAAAUAUGAUAAAUGAAAUCAAACCCCUCGUUCAAUAUUUUUCUUCCCAGUGAUUCUUCAUAUGCGGUCACUUAACCACAUGUGAUGUGUCAUUUCUACGGUCAAAUAGCCGCAUUUGCAUUUCUCCCUCAACACCAGGACUUCCGCUUCUGCGACCUAAACCUCGCACCUGCGGAACCACUUCUGCGGUCUACCAUUGCAGGUGCGAUCAAGCUUCUGCAAUAAUCCUUCGCAUCUGCGGAAACUUCUGAGCUCAACCGACACAGCUUUUGCGGUCAAAUAUCCGCACCUGCAAACUCAGCUCCAACCUGCCCAACUACCCUUAUGUGGCUCGAUGUACGCAUUUGCGGGCUUGCACCUGCGGCCAUGCCUUUGCAGGUGCGAAAACACCAAAAAAUCAGAUACCUUCAGCAAUUCAACCAAGUCCAAGAAUUAUCCGAAAAUAAUCAAAAACACGACCGAGGCCCCCGGGCCCUCGUCCAAACAUACCAACGAGUUGCAAUACAUAACACGAACCUACUUGAGACCUCAAAUCACACCAAACAAUAUCAAAAUUAUGAAUCAUACCUCAAUUCAAGCCUAAGUAAAGUAGUGAACCACCAACUUACAAAACUCAUGUCGAACCACAUCAAAUCAACUCGAAAUGACCUCAAAUUUUGCAUGAAAGUCCCAAAUGACCCAACAGGACUAUACAAAUCUAGGAACCACAAACCGAACCCAAUAUUAAUAAAGUCAACUCUCGGUAAAACCUAUCAACUUUUGAAACCUUUAACUUCCAACUUCCGUCAAAAAGCACCAAAACCUUAUUCCGGAGUCAUUUAUACAAAAGUUAAACUUCGGUCAACUCUUACAACCUGAGCUUCCAACCUUGGGUCUAAGUAUCCCAUUUCACUCUAAACCUCUCUGAAACCAAACCAACUACCCUGUCUAACUACAAAUACACAUAAUCAAGGCAUAAUAUAGGGGAAACGGGGCUAAAAUACUCAAAACGACUGGCUGGGUCGUUACAUUCUCCAUCUCUUUGACAAAUGUUCAUCGUCGAACGAGUAUAGAGACAUACCUAAAGUGCCAAAAAUAUUAGGAUAUCGGCUCCGUAUAUCAUGCUCGGUCACCUAAGUCACUUCCUCGACCGGUUGACCUCUUCACUAAACCUUUACUGAUGAAAUAUUCUUCGACCUCAACUUCUGGACAUGCCUGUCCAAAAUAGCCACCGACUCCUAAACAUAUGUCUAAUCCUUUUCUAAUUGCACUGAGAUAAAAUCUAACACAUGUGAUGGAUCACCAUAAUACUUUCGGAGCAUAGAAAUAUGGAACACCGGGUGAACUCCUGAUAAGCUAGGUGAAAAUGUAAGUUUGUAGGCCACCUCACCCACUCUCUCAAGAAUCUCAAAAGGACCAAUAUACCGAGGGCUCAACUUGCCCUUCUUCCCGAACCUCAUCACACCCUUCAUGGGAAAAACUUUGAGUAGAACCCUCUCACCCACCAUGAAUACUGUUGUACACUAAUUUGCACGAGUCAAUACAAGAUUCAACUAAUGGUUUUCCUAUUGAUAAUAAAAGAGAUUCGUCACCUAAUAUUUAAAGGUAUACUAGGGCACCUAUUUAAUUAUUAAGAUCAUUAUCCUAUUAGUCUUCUAACCAAUGAGAUUUGGGUAAGGGUUCAUGUUCUUUUAAGGGGAAGGUGUUAGGGACCCCCUAGAAUCUACCUAUGGUAGUUCCAUAGGACUUAGACUAGGUUAGGGAAUUUAGAUGUCUAUAUCGUACUUAAUUAGUGCUUAAAAUGUGCGGCUUACCUUAUGUUAUGUGGUAAAAGUUAUCAAUUUUGAAAGAGGGGUAGUAUACAUGCCUUGAAAAGGUGUAGGUUUUAUUUAGGAGAAAUGCUUUUGAAAAUGCCCGUGCAAUUGAACGAGUGUUUUAAAAAUAAGUGUAUAACACUACUUUAAUAACAAAAAUAGAGUUAAGUUUAAAACAUUUGGUUUUGAACAAAAUGGCUGUUUAUGCAAAGUAUGAACUAUUGGGGAAGUGUGGUUCAGAUAUACUUUGAAAGCUGAUUUUAAAUCUCAUAUUCAAAUUCAAGGAAAAUCAUUUGAAGAUCCUGAAUUGCAGCAGUAUUUGUUGAUUCGUAGAAAUAACCCGCUUUUGAAAUCAUUUUCUGGUGUUUUUAGUUUCUUGUUAUUUUAGAAAGAGAAGGCUAUUGACUUUGCAAAUCAGUCUUAGUUUCAAAACAAACUUCAUGAAAAUUGUUAGUAAAAAAUAAUGACGGAAGUUGAAUAAUAUGAGUGAUUAACAGUUAGAAUUAAUUACUACGAAGUUGCAGUACCUUUAUUUUUACCUACGUCUUUAGGGCUUGCCUAGGUUAUUAGUAUAACUCAAAGAAAUAAAGUAAGACAUUCAAUCAAUAUUGCCAGUGUUGAUACAUAUAAGAAUAGCAGUAAACUUAUAAGAGAGCUGAAAGAAAAGAAAUGGACUCAUAGUUUUGGGCCUAAAAGAGAUUAGGCCCAGCAGACAGCGAAAAUGAACAGCAACAACUCUGAUGACUCCAAUAAUUAAUGUGAAGUCACAUAGAGUAAAGCAAUUUACACAGAGUAAAGCAAAUUAAUAUGAAUUCACACAGAGUAAAGCAAUUUAUAGUGAAACCUUUGUUUCCAUUUAACACCUACUAAACCUUAAGAGAUUAGCAAAUGUCAAUAAUUAAAUGCUUAGGGUAAAAUUCAAUUCAUGGCCGAGAUAGCCUUUGAUAUAUGGUACUUCAAAGUUCACAAGGCUCUGAAGGACCCCGAGCAAUGCGUGUGUCAGGGAGAAUAUCUCAACCAAGAAAUAAAUUCUACUCCCAAAUACCCCUAACUACUCACACUUACUCUUCCCUACAGGUUUAAGUGCUAAUGAGGCAUUCAAUAUAAAUUUAAAUACAAUAGUAAUGACAACACACAAGGAGAUGUAUAUUUCUUUUAAAUAACUAUUUGGAACACUGAAGAUAACACCAUAAGAGAUCAUAGUUCUCAUCCAAGCAUGUAAUACACUAUUAUGUACUUUAACAGGCUCGAAAGUACCCAAUACGAUCAAUUAUAGGUGCAGGUAAGUAAUGAGAACACCAACAUGUCGAUACCAGAACUCAGAACAAGUGAAUCAUGUAUUUAAAAGAAGCAUAGGAGAUAUCAUGUGUAUUAACACCACUAGUCCUACUGGAAGGUUCAUACUUAUGAGAAUUAUUAGCUAUAAUUAUGUACUUAAUCAUGUAUAUACUUAAUAAAAGUCUACGCACAAACUAGCACUCCACUUCUCACUAAGUGUAAGGGUUAACAGUCCACUUCAGAGUUCUUAAAAGAAAGGGAUAAGCAAAUACAUUUACUUAACAAGUGACAUGACCUCUAAAGAAAUCUUUCAUUCCAUCUAGGUUGGUUAGAAAUUAAAUACAUAAUCCAAUACUCAACAAAGCAGACGAGCAUCAAGGAGUUUCUCCUAAGUUUAUAAUGACUAUAGUUAACUAAUAUUGACUUAACGAAGCUAGGUGAUAUCAAAGGACACAUGUGUGAGCAUGUAAGACAAACAGAGCUUGUUCAAGAAUAAGCUGAGUGCAGAAGUCCAAGAGAUAACAUUCAAAUACACACAUAUGACAGUCUUAUAGGAUCACAACAUGGCAGACAUGGUUGAAUAUCAGGAGACCAAAUUAAUAGUGUUACUAAGUGUAAGUUUCAGGGAAGUCAAUGAGAAUAUUACAUUAAGGAUCUAUCAUAAGUAGUGUAUAAGAACUUAGUCAUGAUGAAGCUUAACUAAAUACUUUAGCACAACAAAUAAGACUUAAACACUAUAGAUGUAUCUUAAUGAGGUUUCAUAACUUAAGCUAAAAGUGGAAUAGUUUUAGAAUAUACAAAAGGGCAAGUACAGGGGUACAAUAUGUUUUAGAACAUGCUUAUACAAUGAAAUCCCGGACAUAAUUGCACAGUCAUGAGGUUCAACAAAAGACUAAUGACCUCUCAAAAGUCAAUAGAGUCACAAAAAGCACAUUUUAAAGAAGAAAUUGAUCUAAAUGUCAUGAGCUGAUGUACCUAGACUAAGGUGAUAGUCCUAUCUUUAUCACUGAAGGGUUCAUAUCAAUUUAGACUAGUUAUCAAGUGAAUCAUACCAAUAACACUAAGGCAAACGAAUAUGGCACACAUGAGAACCACAAUAGAACAUCAGAAGGUCUAAUAAUUAAGAUAACUAUAUGAGAUCAUUUGAAAGUUUCUUAGUUAAUAUCAGAAGCUUCACAAUGUAUAAGUUAUUCAAAGACAUGUUCAUUAAGAUUACCAAAAUAAUCGAUUAGUACAUGAUUCUAUUUCUAGGUUAUCAAAGAAACUUGUACUCUAAAGUUUAGUAAUCAAUCAUGAGCUAAUGAAAAAAUACAUAGAGGUAAUUAACUAUAAUAUAUCAAAAAAACAGAGUGACUUAACAAGAAAACAAUAGAAUAAACAUAAUUUUGAAUAAAUAAUUAAAAGAGAAGAAAGGUCGAGCCUCAUUGACCUUCUUUUGGGCAGCAAACCAAAUGAGAGUCUUUCUUAGCCGUUAAGAAUCAGGAACUCAAACUCCAACCAGUGUUAAACUCAGAAUCAGAAAGAAAUCAACGGCUAGUAAGAAACCCUAACUUGAUUUUGCUACUCAAGAACAAAAAUUUGAUGUUUCUAUGUUUAGUAAGUAAUUUUCAUGUGUAUCUUAUGUUGUUAGGUGAGAGCAUUGAAGGCUCCCUUUAUAGUGGCAUUCAAUGCCUUAAGGUUCAAUAGAAAUCAAACUCGGUUGGUAGAAGAUGAUGAUGAGGUGGUGAUGUGAGGAAACGUGUAAAAAUCCUAGAUGAAAGUAGUAGUGAUUUUACCUGAGUGGAGUGAGUCGUCCGUUGAUGGCAACGACCUAUCAGACAAAGCCCAAAAACCCAAAGGUCACCACGUUUGACCUCUGGGUACAGAAUCUUCAUGAUGAUGGUCGGAAGAGGCUCCUCAUGUGCUUUGAUUUGAAAGAACAUAAGAGUUCACAGUCGAUUUAAGAUUUCACCCUUUAGUCUGUGAUUUCAACAUUAGGGUUAUUGAAAUUAAUCAGUGGAAAUGGAAAGAAAGUAGCAAGAUUCGUAGUACACGGACAAGAUGGAUAUCCAUGCAUGCUCGAUUUGAAAGAAUGAAGAAGAAAAUCAGACGUUCUGAAGUUCCACUUUUUGGGUUAGGGUUUUCGGAUUUGGGGAUUUUGAAUCUCAACAAUGAAAGAGGAAAGAAACAGCAGCAUUCGCGGAUUUAGAUGACAAAAAGAAUUAUAUGUGGUUUGAUUCGCGGAUUUGUGAAAGGUUCUUUGACUAAUUGGGUCUGUUAAGUUGAGAGAAAUGAGAGAGGAAAGGGGAAGGGGGCGCUGAGUCGGGUGAGAAAUGAUUAGGGUUUGGAGAUAGUUGGGGUUGGGUCUCUACGUUUAAACGGGGAGAUGGGAUCUGGGCCGUUGGAUCUCCUGAUCAACGACCCUGAUAAUUUGGGCAUUAAAGUAUUUUAGUGGGAAAUAUUCUGAUGGGGUGUUUAAAUUAAAGGGAAAAUGAGAUAAAACGAGAGCCGUUGAUCUAAAGGAUGGACGGCUUGGAUCAAUUAUGUUUUUUGUGAGUGUUGCGGAGAGGUGACGUGGAGAGUUCUGAUUGGUUCACAUAGGUUGAGGCGGAUUGCCAAAGUCGAAAGGGAGGGGUGUUUGGACUGGGUCAGAUUUGAUUUGGGUUGGUUUUAAUUUAUCAAAUAGCCAUUUCGUGUUUAAUUGUGCAAUUGCAAUUGUAGCAUUUUGGUCUUUAACCAUUUAAAAAUUAAUUUAAAUGAACUUAAUUAAUUUUAAUAAAAUAUAAUAAUAAUUAUAAUAAUCAAAUAUAUUAUUAAUUAUAGUAAUUAGUUAAUUAAUUACUAAAUAUCUUAUUUUCCUAUUUUGGAUUUAUUUUGAAAUAAUGGGCUAUUUUCUAAAAAUUAAGAAAUAACUUUGUUAAAUUAAUUAAAAAUCUAUGUGAUGAAUAUGAGAGUAUUUUUAAUAGUCUCAAAAUAGUAAGAGUAAUAUAUUUAUAAUUAUAUAAUACUAAAUUAUGAAUUAACAUCAUUGAUUACUUAAUUUUAUAAAACAUGUAUUAUUACUCAAAAAAUAUCUUUAACAUAUUUAUUGGAAACUAGUAAGUAUAGAUAAAUAAAUUUUUAAAAGGAGGAUCAAAAUUAGUCGUCAACAGCUGCCCCUCUUUGACCGCAGAUAAUGAAAGAGUGCUCGGGCAAAGAAAUCGAACCAAGGCCAAUUUUGUCCCCACCUUAGGCAUACAUUGCCGGAAUGGCAUAUGGAUUUAGGGAAGAUUAUGGGUUGUAGAAUUAGGGAAGGAGCUAAGGAAGACUCCGGGAGAAUUUGGAGAAUCGGGGUCGAAUUCUGGCUUUGAAUUGCUUACAUACCUCAGGCUUGACGAGGAUCAGGCCUCGUGUAGUUCUACAGUGAUGAUAUGGAGGAGGUGUUGCUUGAGGAAUUGCCCCAGUAUCGUAUUAUGAAUAUAAUGCGAGAUGGAAGAUUUUGGUACCCAUGAUAGCUCUGAAUUGCUGCUUGAUUUGAAAGAUUUGAUAAAUUAGAGUUCCACUGAUCGAAUUUGAGUUUGAUUUUUGAUCCUUGGCCCGCUUAUGAGUUUGUUGUCCCUCAUAGCAUUGUAGCUUGGUUUGCUACUUAAAAGGAGUUCCACGUCGUGAUGUUUGGUCCUGCAAAACAAAGCAUACACAUACCCAAAUAUCGUAAUGCAGAUAUGUUAAGAUGUAAUGUAAAUGAUGCAGGAAUGAUGAUGUUUGGUUGCCUGCUAGCCGUUAUUUGGGAUUGGAAUGAUGGGAUACUUGAGUUUGACUCCAUUGUUAGCCGGGCUAUGUACCAUUCCACAGUUGUCAGAGCAUUGAGUCUCCUCACGUUGGGAGUAUCUCCGUGCGAUAGGAGUAGCUGACUUGUAAUAUAGAAGGUAUCUCCGCGUGAUAGGAGUAGGUGACUUGAAAUGUCAAAUAUAUCUCCGCGUGACAGGAGUAGAUGCAUUGAAAUUAAAGUAUCUCCAAACGAUGGGAGUUUCUAACUUGAAAAAUAUAAGAUGCCUGUAAGCUACACGAGCAAAACGUCAAAACAUUCAAGAUAAAAUAAAGAAAUAAGGAGCAUGCCCAAGAGGUACUCUUGACUGCAAACUAAAUGCGGUCGUUGAUCGGCAGAACGUAUGGCAGGAUUUGAUAACUAUCUACUUCUAAUCUCCGAUAUGAUGGAGUGGCGAUGGGGAACGCUCCCAUUGGCGAAGAGAAUAGUUUGCUAUAUACAGGGCUUUGGUUGGAAAAACCGACAGCUCGAUUUGUACAAGACGCUCUGAUUGAUUGAGCUAACGGUUUUCUAUAUACAUGGCUCCUGUUGACGGGACCAGUGGCUCACUAUAUACAAAGUGCUCCACUUAAAUGAGCAGACGGUUUGCUAUUUACAAUAUUGCUCCAAUUGUAUCAUCAUCCUGGUUCCAGAAUACCUCCAAAGGAUUUGGAAGUUAGUCUUUAGUUGUAUGAGGAAAUAAUUUAAAUAAUGAAAGAGAUGGUAGUUAUGAGAGAGAAGCGGAUUCGUCAUUGCCCCAGCGUGCCCUAGCAUUUCCUUGUAUCAUGUUGGUCCUACGUUCAAAGAAAUAUUCUUAGCAGGGGGUGUUGGUUUAUGUUGACCGUAGUCCUGGCUUUGCCCCAGGUCUGGUGAGGUUAUGCCAUGAAGUUCGGUAGGUGGAAUGAUAGUUUUUUAGAAAAACAUUUUGAAAAUCAUCCAUUUUUAUGGGGAAUGCUGUCGUUCAGGAUUAUGACAUGUUUAGAAAUUCGCUCAGAAGACUCUAUCUCGUUGAUGUCGAUUCUUGGAGAUGCUCCUAAUGACGUAGCUUCUCAUUGUUGUGAUUGCAUCCUAAUCUAAACGAAUGCGUUACAAAGGUUUUCCUAGGAUUAUGACUGAACCCUUUUCAAGUUGCUUAUGUAUCCGAAAUAGAAUCAAGUCUGAACGUAAUUUGUGGGUAAUGAUAAAGAAAUUAUAAUGGUGACCGAGCCUGACUCAGGCAACGUACGUAUCCAAAUGGGAUCAGGUUAAAACGUAGUUCAAUUACAAUAGAUGCCAAAUGAUGGGAUUGAAAAAUGAAAUGACCGAGUCUGACUCAGACUGCCUACGUAUCCAAAUAGAAUCUAGCCAGAACGUAGUUCAAUUACAACAGAUGACUGAAUCCGAUAAGAAUUGCCAAGGUAUUCCUGCUGAAGGAAAUCAAGUCGUGGCAUAGUUCUGAAUACAUACAAAAUGAUGUUUGGAUUUUCUAUUACAAAAGAAGAGGAGGGGAGAGAGAGACCGGACCCUACGUGGGUUGCCUACAUAUCCCACCAUGGGAAGUCAAGUUGGGCGUAGUUCUGUUACAACCAAACCUAACUCUAAUGUUUUUUAAUGUAGUAUCUUUCAAUUACAUCUAAAUUGAUAGGCUUCGUGCUGACUCUUCCGACCAUUUUUGCUAAGAUCAGAGCUCCUCCCGACAAUAUUCGAUGGACCACGUAAGGACCUUGCCAAUUUGGCGCAAACUUUCUCUUGGCUUCUUCAUGGUGAGGGAAUAUCUUCUUCAAAAUCAACUGCCCCGGUGUAAAUUCACGAGGUUUCACCUUCUUGUUGAAUGCAUUGGCCAUCCUAUUUUGAUACAGCUGACCAUGGAACACUGCGUCCAUUCUCUUCUCAUCAAUGAGCAUCAGUUUCUCCUACCUGACCCGUAUCCAUACUGCGUCGUCUAACUUGGCUUCCUGAAUGACUCUCAAGGAUGGUAUCUCAACUUCUGCGGGUAUCACAGCUUCGGUGCCAUAUACCAACAUGUAUGGCGUUGCCUCAGUGGAUGUUCUCAUGAUGGUCUGAUAACCUAGCAGGGCGAAGGAUAAUGUUUCGUGCCAUUGCCUAUGAUUGUCCACUAUUUUCCGUAGAAUCCUUUUGAUGUUUUGUUGGCUGCUUUAACUGCCUCAUUCAUUUGCGGUCUAUAGGUUGUAGAGUUACAAUUAACGAUUUAGAAUUUUUCACAAAUCUCCUCAUGAGAUAGCUAUUGAGAUUGGUUGCAUUGUCAGUGAUUAUCGAUUUUGGUAUUCUUCUUGGUCAUCCAAAAGUAUCAGGUUCUUAAAUUCUUCUUGGGUAAAGUGAAGCAGUUCAUGUGAGGUCCACAUGUCCCUGCAUGUACUUCUUUUAGUAAUUUGGUUGCUUUAGCAGCAUCUACACAUCUUAAAAGACCCAAAUCCUGGGUCCUCCUGUACAUGACUUCCCCGUUGAGGAAAAAGUGAUUUGCUAGCCUUCUGAGCGCUCGCUUCUGACCAUUGGUGGCAUCCUCUGGGUACUCUCUUAUUUCCAGAAACCUCACGGAUUACCAUCCGCCUCUUCAUCCACAUGGAAACAGUACGCAUGCUAAUCCCGGAUCUCUAUCUCAAUAGGAUCGAUGUAAUUCUUAUAUUGAUGUUGGAUCAUGGACGACAAGGAUGCUAGAGCGUCGGCAAACUCUAUCUAGAUCCUAGGAAUGUGUUUGAACUCGAUCUUUGUGAACUUCUUACACAGCUCUUUCACACAAUGCAUGUACGGGAGGAUCUUGACAUUCUUGGUAGUUCGUUCCCCUUGGACUUGAUGUAUCAACAUAUCAAAAUCUCCUAUGACCAGAAGAUCCUUGAUGUUUAUGUCAACCACCAUCCUAAUCUGAGGAUGCACGCUUUAUACUCAGUGAUAUUAUUGGUGCAAGGGAACCUUAUCUUUGUUAAUGCCAGGUAACGCUGUCCUGAUUCUGAAAUUAAGACUGCCCUAAUUCCUAUUCCUUUGAAAUUUGCUGCUCCGUCGAAGAACAUUCUCCAUCCUGGGUAUGACUCUGCGAUGUCUUCUCUGGCGAACAAUAGUUCUUCAUCCGGAAAGUAUGUAGUGAGCGGCUCGUAAUCCUUUUCCAAUGGGUUCUCUGCAAGGUGAUCGGCUAAAGUUUGUCCUUUGAUGGCCUUCUGCAUUAUGUAUACAAUGUCGAACUCGCUGAGAAGAAUCUGCCAUUUGGCCAGUUUUCCGCAGGCAUCGGCUUCUAAAAGAUAUACUUGAGCGGGUCGAGCUGGAAUAUUAGAUAUGUGGUGUAUGCCGACAUGUAGUGCCUCAACUUCUGGGCGAUCCAAGUCAAAGCACAAAGGUACGCUCUAUUAGAGUGUAUUUGGCUUCACGUGGUGUAAAAUUCUUGCUCGGGUAGCAGAUAGCUUGUUCUUUCCUUCCAGUCUCAUUGUGUUGUCCCAACGCAUCCAAAUACAUUAUCCAAAACUGACAAAUAUAAUAAUAGUGGCUUCCCGGGCUUGGGGGAACCAAUACCGGUAGAUUUGACAAGUACUCCUUGAUCUUGUUGAAGGUUUUAUGACACUUUUCUAUCCAUUUUGUAGCAGCAUCCUUUUUCAGCAGCUUGAAGAUGGACUCACAAAUUACCGUAGAUGGGGCUAUGAAUCUACUAAUGUUAUUUAAUCUGCCAAGGAAACUCAUCGCAUCCUUCUUUCUCUUAAGUGGUAGUAAGUCUUGAAUGCCUUUGAUCUUUGAAGGAUCCAGUUCUAUCUCUUUCUUGCUCACAAUGAAACCAAAUAGUUUUUCGGUAAGGACUCCGAAUGCACAUUUUGUGGGGUUCAACUUUAGAUUGUACCUCGGCAAAUGUUCGAAGAACUUCUUCAGAUCACCCAAAUGCUCUAGACUCUUUCGAGAUUUGGAGAUGACGUCAUCCAUAUAUACCUCAAUUUCUUUAUUGAUCAUGUCAUAAAAGAGGGUCGUCAUGGCCCUCAUGUAAGUAGCAUCGGCAUUCUUGAUGUCGAACGUCAUGAAUAUGUAGCAAUAAACUCCCCAAGGCGUAGUGAAUGAUGUAUUCUCCGCAUCUUCUUAAUGCAUCAAAAUCUGACGGUACCCGGCGAAACAAUCCACGAACGACUGUAGCUUGUGCUUUGCACAAUUGUCAAUGAGGAUAUGGAUGUUUGGUAAAGGGAAAUCGUCCUUUGGACUGGACUUGUUAAUAUCUCGAUAGUCCACACAUAUCCUGAUCUUCCCAUCCUUCUUUGGCAUCGCUAUGAUAUUUGCCAACUAUGUGGGAUAAUUGGUGACCCUCACCAUGUUCGCCUUUAUAUGUUUGGUCACUUCUUGUUUUAUCCUUAAACUCAAAUUUGGCUUGAAAUUUCUAGGUUUUUGUUUGACUGGAAGUCUAGUAGGAUCAGUAGGCAAUCGAUGCGAAACGAUGUCGGUACUCAAUCCGGGCAUGUCAUCAUAUGACCAUGCGAACACGUCAUUGUAUUCUCUGAGGAGCUCGACCAGUUCUUUUUUCUUCUCUAUUUCUAUAUGGAUGUUGAUUCGAGUUUCUUUCAAGUCUUCUUCGCUUCCCAGGUUGAUUACUUUUGUCUCUUCCAGGUUAGGCUUUUUCUAGCUUUCAAUUGCUCGAUCUCUUAUGGAAGAUUAUCUGGCAUCAUGCUUUCAUCGUAUUCCUUAUAGUCUGAUCUCUUUUCUCGAGGGUUUCAUUAUAUGCCAUAAUCACGGAACAUGAGUUUUUAUUGAUUUGAUUACUGAAAAGAAAAACUAAGUAUAAAUGAAGAGAUAAAUAAGUUUGCAAUGAUUUUAAGAAAGUAAUUCUUUUUAUUUCAUCAAAGGGAACGUCUAAGCGUUCAAGGAGGCAAUUGACAAAAAAGUACAGGCACGGUUCAAGCCUCAAUUGACCAUGCAUUUUCUUCCAAAGUUUUAAAAUUCCACACUACCAAGACUCCUGGCAAACCAAAGAUGGGUUGGUGGUCCAAUUCUGCAAGUUCUAUCCUGAUUCGGCAUCCCGAAUAGUCGGUGUCUUGACAUCAACUUUGUCAAAGCAUUCCUCGAUCAUGGUCACAAACAGCCUUCCCAUUCUAUCAACGAUGUCGUACUCUGAUGUUGAGCUCUGACUCAGACCCGGACCCGGAACAUGCUCUGGCACAAAAGCCUUCUUCCCGAAGCCACCAGUAUAAGUCUUUAUAGUUGGAGGUUGAUACCCUAGACCAGCUCUAUCCUUCUGUCCCUUUGUCUCAAUCAGUUCCAUUAUCCCAUCUGAUCGGGCUCCCAGCCCUGUCUAUGUUCAAUACCCAUACUUCAUCAUUUCUCUCAUAGCCAUCGUUGAUCUGUAUGGUGACUGCAUACCCAAAUUCUUCUCAGUCUCCCUAUCUCUGUGGUCUGCAUGAUUUAGACCGCAUGAAAAGCGACCCCGUCCAAUCCUUCUAUGAACAGAACUGCAUGUUCUAGAUAAGCUGACUGGCUCCAUUCACCAUGAACUAUAAUCUCUUUACAACCCCAUUUGAACUUCAUGCACUGAUGGAGGGUGGAUGGAACUACCCCUGUUAUAUGUAUCCAAGGUCUUCCCAGCAACAAGUUGUAUGAGGCCGAAAUGUCCAUUACUUUAAAUAGUAUUGGGAACUCAUCAAGUCCAAUUUACAGAUCUAAGUAGAUUUCCCUAAUGAUGUCUUUCUGCAACCCAUCGAAAGCUCUCACCCUCACAUGGCUUUCUUUCACUUCUCUUGGAUGAAUACCCAACUCUCGUAGAGUAGAGAAGGGGCAGAUAUUGACUUUGGAUCCUCUAUCAACAAGUACUCGGGACACCACUUUAUCCCCGCACUUGACGGUAAUAUGUAAGGCCCUGUUCUCAAUCACGCCCUCUACUAGAAGUUCACCUCUUUGAAAAGUAAUCAUGUUUGCCUCGACUAUCUAUCCGAUGGUCGCUACCAGUGCCUUGCUGGUAGUGUUGUUCGUCACGCUCACUCCACUUAACACUUUCAUCAAGGUGUCUUUAUGACUGUCAGAAUUCAUCAGCAGAUCCAUGAUUGAUAUAUGUGCAGGGGUUUUCUUCAAUUGCUCAUCCAUAGAGUAUUCUUUAGCUGACAUCUUUUUCCAAAAUUCUACGGCCUCAGCAUCUAUUAUAUUCCUCCUCUGAAUCUGUCCCCUUCCUGGAUUUCCUCAAUUUACCUCCUCCAGAUCAUAAUACCUCCCUGACCUGAUCAUUCCAUGAGCCACUGCAGAAUCUAUCAUCUUGCCUUUCCCUUUCUUCUGAUACAUCCAUGGGACUAUCUUGUAUUCCCGAUCCUCCUAAUUCCUGAUAGUGACGGUGGACUGUUACUGGUAUAUCUGGACCAUCACUGGAGGUUUUAAUUUUAAGGUGAUCAUCAGAGUCCUUCGGGGUGGAACCCUUGCAGCAUCAAUGUUUCCUAUUGUUACGAUGGUCCCUUUCAAGUCCUACUCUUCAUCUAGGGUGAUCAUAUUAGUUGUUUGAUUUCGAUGGUUUGGCAAUGGGUUAGGUUCACAUUGGGUAGAGCUGGGGUGCAUUGAAUGGAUCCAUUUUUAAUCAUCGUCUCAAUUUCAUUCUUCAGUCUGAAGCAAUCCUCGGUACCAUGCUCUGGUAUGCCUGAAUGGUAGACCAUCAUUUGGUUGCAUAAAAGUAUUUUGAAGGAUGCUUAGGAAUCCUCCCUUCUACCGGAUGUAUCAAGCCAACUCUUCUUAAUCUUUCAAAUAGUUGAGCCAAAGGUUCAGCAAUUGGGGUGUAGUUUAUGGGACCUCUUUCUUCGAAUUUUGGGCGAGGUCGGGGUGCAUAGGUGGGACAAUUUUGAUGGGUGGUGGUCUGAACUAGAGCAUAUGAUCGUGAUGAAUUUUAAUUUAUAUGGGCGCGAGGUGGGUUAUAUUGAUAAUGUGGAUUAUAGUAUGGUUGCAUAUUAUAUACUAGAGCAUAGGUAGGUUGGUGUGGCGAAUGUGUAUUUAGAGGGUAAGAGUUGUUUCCAUGGGUGAAUUGGACUGGUAAUAGGGAACGAUUGUUGAUACCUUUUCUUUCUUCUUCUUUCCACUGUUUAUGGAACCAGACUGAAUUGCCUUGCUAGCUGCUUGCAACGUGGCCAUGGAUUGUAUCUUCCCUAACUUAAUCCCUUCCUCCAAAAAGUGUCCCAUUUUGAUAAGUUCAGGGAAAUUCUGCCCUAUCAUGCCCAUCAUCUUUUUAAAGUAGAUAUCCUCUUGCGCCCUAAUAAAACAUUUGGUUAUCUCAUUGUCAUCUCGCGGGGGCUGGGUUCUAGCAGUCUCUGACCUCCAACGACGGGCAUACUCCUGAAAUGAUUCUGAUGGCUUUUUCUACAAAUUUACCAGGGCGAACCUAUCUGGAGUAAUUUCUGUAUUGAACCGGAAAUGGUUCAUGAAGUCUUCUACCAUAUCCUGCCACUCUCUCCAAUUCUGGGAUCUGGCGGGUGUAUCAAGUGAGCGCCCCUCCUGUCAAACUUCUUAUAAAUAGCUUCAUCCUUAACUUCUCAUUUCUUCCAAAUCCAACUAACUUAUCGCAGUAGGCUCUCAAGUGUGCAUGGGGAUCACCUGUCCCAUCAAAGAUGUAUAACGUCCGAGGCAUAUAGCCUACUGACCUGUCCACAUCAGGGUGCAUGCACAGAUCCUUGUAAUCUAGACUUUUGCUCCCCGGGCGACCUGGAGGUUUUUCAUUUGUUUCCUUAAUGCUAGCAGCUGUUCGGAUACCGACUCUUCCUCUUUAUACUUAGCUUCCCUCUCCAUUUAGGCAUAUUAAUGAACUUCAUAAGGUAACCUGACCAUGACGAGUGCUGUGAAGGAUUCUGAAAUGGCAUAUACGGGCAUAACAUAAAGCUCAUGUGCAGUGGUAUGUGCUGUAGGUAUGUGCUGGUUUUGAUUGUUGGUAAAGGUGAAACCAUUAUAAGGAGGGGUAUGAACUAUGUUGGUAGUGACUAGUGGGUUUUGUAGUGUCUGAACAUAAUUUGGUACAUAAGGGGUAUAUAUGGGAGGAUUUGGUGGGUUUAUAUGGGUUACUGGGGGUAUAAUCUGGGUUGUAGUGACUGAAGUUGGGGUAUUGUUUGCUUGGCGGGUAGUUUAAGGAAUGUGAUCGGGGAUCGAAUCUAGUGAAGGAAAGCAGGUUGUUGUGGGAGCACUGUCAUGGCCGGAUGCACCAAUUCCCGAAUGUGUUGUACUUCCUCUCUCAACAAUUCCAUCUCUUGUGCCAUACUAGCAACAUGUUUGUCGUUUCGAGUAUUAUCCUUUUCUCCCGAUUGCCCCGGGCUAUCAGCUAUCACUGAAGCGUGUCCAGUCAGGUCAUCUGUCGCAGACAUCUUCCCUUUCGAUCUCAAGUUGUAUGGUGGUUCCACCACUUUUCUGGUCAACACAAACCAACCUCUUCUUUGGGGGAUAUUAAUAAAGUAAUGCAAGAAAAGAAUAGAAGAGUAGAAGUUAGUUUCAGUUUUUGCACAAAUAUGAGCACGUAGAGCAGUUAGUUCACGUAUUUAAAUAAGCGUGUUUCCUAAUAUGCGAGGGACCUCUCUUUGCUGGAGGUGGGCCUAAGUCGCGUGUAUUUGACAAAUAAUUUGAUUUGACACGUUUAGAUACGAAGAAAACUUUGGUUUUCAUUAAUAAUAUUUGGAUUGUAAUGGGCGAGAACAAGGUUUACAACAUUGUUUUUCCAACAUCCAUAAGAUUACAUGGGCUCAACAGGCUUUCCUUUAGGGAAAUAAAAGGGUACAGUAUAAAGGAUGUAAGAUAGAAAAGGGGGAAAUUAAUCAGCCACUAAUAGCCAUCCCUGGAAUCAUCUCCCAUAUCUUCUUCCUCUUCUGGUUCUUCUUCUGGGUCUUAUCCAAAUUCCUGUUCUUCUUCAGCAUUGUACUGGGGCUCCUCUUCAAGAUCUUCUUUUGGUUCUAUCUCAGAUUCAAUUUGUAUACACUCGACCAAUCGAUCAUCAUUCUUUGGAGGUGGCAGCAUAUGAAUAAGUGACCAUAGGACCACUUAGUGAUGCAUGGAGGUAGUCACCAAGUAGUGAGGCAAAAUCUCAUGAUAGAUUUGUAAAGUCGCUGCUACAUCCUCUAACUAGGCUAUUCCUUCUCUGCUUGGUCGGGCCAGUUCAUCCUCCCCAUUGAUCCGAACAUAGUAUUCUAGAGUGCACCACGAAUUCUGACCUAUCGGCAUCAUAAUUAAAUCAUUCCACUCCCCUGAAGUCUUCUUAUCCUUGGGAUCGGGAUCUGCCCGUUGUACUCAUCUUCAUACCGAGUCAUUCUCGGCCAAAAGGGUACAUCUUGGAUCAGACCAAACUGCCUGAGAAUCCAAAGGGUACAUCCUGGAUCAGACCAAACUACCUGAGAACUCAUAGGGGUGCAUAUGGCUGAAUGCCUUUGAGUCCUAUCAGCUCGAUGAAAUACUUCUGGGGGUCCUUAGAAUUGCCCUGCCGCUCAGCCACGAAAGCUUCCAAUUUAUCCAUUCUCCGCUCACGUUUAUCAGCAUCUCUCUCCAUUUUUUUGUCCGUGAGGGGAUACCUAAUGCCUCAUUUUCUCAUUGUGACCCCGAAUCAUAUUGCUAACACCCACAAAGUAAUCAAUUAUGGCCUCUAGUUGAAAGAAGUGCUCUGUGGCCCAUAUUUGGAGUAACAAGCUGCAUCCCUUGAAGGAAUCGUAUCCCCGAGAACAUGCAGACAGUGCUGUAAGAAUUUCUGCCAAUAUAAUAGGCACUAAGGUGGCUUGGAGGUUACCCAAAAAUGUUGCCAAGACCAUAAGCAGCAAGUUGAUGUUGAUUCGUCCUCUCCUAUGUGGGAAAACCAGCAAUCCUAACAGUGCCAAAGAGAAGGUUAUGGGGCGGAGACUUUCCCAGGUUGCCUGAUCACAUUGGAACUCUCCCAAGUGCCAUUCGUAGCUCUCUCGAUGUCCAAACCUGUCAAACAAUUGGUCCAGGCUUACCCAUCUGUCCUCAAUGUUCCUCAAACUCCGACAACUUGCCAAACCCAAAGCAUCGAGAAACCUAUAGCUGGGCAUGGUGACCAGUAGUAUCGGCUUUCUCCUAGUAAAUGGCAGCUCUGUGAAGCUGGUGACUUCUUCUAACGUUGGCACCAAUUCACAAUCAGCGAACUUGAAAAGUACAUUGGUUGGAUACCAGAAUUCGAUCAGCAAAUGGUAAGAACCUUAUUGGCCUGGAUGUUUAGAAAGGCAGUCAAUUCUCCUAGGUGCGUCCUGAUCUCGUCUUCAUGGUCUCAGCGGAUGUUCUCAGCAUCUUGGGGAUGUUCUAGUUGAUUUCUAUUUCUGAAGAGGGUAGAAAAAGGGUUGAUAAGUGUUUUUCUCCGGAUCUUUAGUGUCUCAUCAUGGUUGGUUCGUCAUUCCACAAAAGUCAUGCCAUUGGGUGCAUGACCCGUUGACAUUACCAAAGACCGACCUACCUAAGGUUUAUACAGUAUGACCUAUGUUUGCUAGAGUAGAUGUUUCCUAAUUUUGGAGUUGGACUGAAUACUGCGAGAAGUUAUGUCAAUUGACCUUACAAAUCCAUUCUUUGAAACUAAAGAAUUUUGAAAGAAGGUUCGGAGGGGUGUAAAAGACAACCCUCGCGUGCCAUUAUGUGUGAUAGUGUACGGACAAGACUCGAUAGGAAAGAAUAUGAUGACAGUGCAUAUAAAGCGGUAACAGAUAGUGGGAUAUCAGUAAUAACAUUAAAGUAAGCAGAUAAGUACAAGAUGAACGAGUAGGGAAGGUAAGCACAUAUUUCCAAAUUAAGCACAGUUAAAGCAGUAUAUAAAUAAUUGUUCUUAAAUUCUAUGUCUAGUCUAAAUUUGCUAAGGUCGGAACCUAAGUGCAUUCCCCAGCAUAGUCGCCAUGAUGUUGUGCCCUAUUUUGCAUGAGUCAAAAUAAGAUUCAAUUAGUGGUUUCUCUGUUGAUGAAUAAAGAGAGUCGCCACCUAAUAUUUGAAGGUAUACUAGGGCACCUAUUUAAUUAUUAAGAUCAUUAUCCUAUUAGUCUUCUAACCAGUGAGAUCUGGGUAAGGGUUCUUGUUCUUUUAAGGGGAAGGUACUAGGCAUCCCCUAGAAUCUACCUAAGGUAGCUCCAUAGGACUUAGACUAGGUUCGGGAAUUUAGAUGUUUAUAUCUUACUUAAUUAGUGCUUAAAAUGUGCGGCUUACCUUAUGUUAUGUUGUAAAACUUAUCAAUUUUGAAAGAGGGGUAGUAUAUAUGCCUUGAAAAGGUGUAGGUUUUAUUUAGGAGAAAUUCUUUUAAAAAUGUCCAUGCAAUUGAAAGAGUACUUUAAAAAUAGGUGUAUAACACUUACCUUAAUAACAAAAAUAGGGUUAAGUUUAAAAUAUUUGGUUUAGAACAAACUGGCUAUUUAUGAAAAGUAAGAACUAUUGGGGAAGUGGGGUUCAGAUAUACCUUUGAAAGCUGAUUUUAAAUCUCAUAUUUAAAUUCAAGGAAAAUCAUUUGAAGAUCCUUAAUUGCAGCAACAUUUGUUGAUUUGUAGAAAUAACCCGCUUUUAAAAUCGUUUUCUGGUGUUUUCAGUUUCUUUUUAUUUUAGAAAGAGAAGGUUGUUGACUUUGCAAAUCUAUCUUAGUUUCAAAAAAAACCUCAUGAAAAUUGUUAGUAAAGAAUAAUGACGGAAGCUGAAUAAUGUGAGUGAUUAACAGUUAGAAUUAAUUACUACUAAGUUGCAGUAACUUUUUUUUUACCUACGUCUUUAGGGCUUGCCUUGGUUAUUACUAUAACUCAAAGAAAUAAAGUAAGACAUUCAAUCAAUAUUACCAAUAUUGAUUCAUAUAAGAAUAGCAAUAAACAUAUAAGAACGGUGAAAGAAAAGAAAUGGACUCAUAGUUUUGGUCCUGAAAGAGAUUAUGCCCAGCAGACAACGAAAACGAAUAGCAACAGCUCCGAUGACUCCAAGGUUCAGGAAAGCAUAUGGGCCUGAAUUCUUUAAGAACUCGGCUGACCCAAUUUAGACACAUGCGUCAAAAAGGGAGUAGGUUAUUACAUAUAUGGCCCAAUAUAAAAUUUAAACAUAAGUAACUCUAAUAUAGGCCCAACACAAAAAUGUAACAAUCAAUAACAGUUGGGAAGCAAAUUAAUGUGAAGUCACACAGAGUAAAGCAAUUUACAGUGAAACCUUUGUUUUUAUUUAACACUAAACCUAAAGAGAUUAGAAAAUAUCAAUAAUUAAAGGAUUAGGGUAAAUUUAUAUUCAUGGCCAAGAUACCCUUUGAUCUAUGGUACUUCAAAGUUCACAAGGGUCUGAAGGACCCCGAGCAGUGCGUGUGUCAGAGAGAAUAUCUCAACCAAGAAUUAAAUUCUACUCCCAAAUACUCCUAAUUACUCACACUUACUCUUCCCUACAGGUUUAAGUGCUAAUGAGGCACUCAAUGUAAAUUCCAAUACAACAGUAAUGAGAACACACAAGGAGAUGUAUAUUUCUUUUAAAUAACUGCACUAAAGAUAACACCAUAAGAGAUCAUAGUUCUCAUGCAAGCAUGUAAUACACUGUCAUGUACUUUAACAGGCUCGAAAUUGCCCAAUACGAUCAAUUAUAGGUGCUGGUAAGUAAUGGGAACAUCAACAUGUCGAUACCAAAACUCAGAACAAGUGAAUCAUGUAAUUCAAAGGAGCAUAGGAGAUAUCAUGUGUAUUAACCCCACUAGUCCUACUGGAAGGUUCAUACUUAUGAGGAUUAUUAGCUAUAAUUAUGUACUUAAUCAUGUAUACACUUAAUAAAAAUCUACGCACAAACUAGAACUCCACUUCUCACUAAGUGUAAGGGUUAACAGUCCACUUUAGAGUUCUUAAAAGACAGGGAUAAGCAAAUACAUUUACUUAACAAGUGACAUGACCUCUAAAGAAAUCUUUCAUUCCAUCUAGGUUGGUUAGAAAUUAAAUAUAUAUUCCAAUACUCAACAAAGCAGACGAGCAUCAAGGAGUUUCUCCUAAGUUUAUAAUGACUACAGUUAACUAAUAUUGACUUAACAAAGCUAGGUGAUAUCAGGGACACAUAUGUGAGCAUGUAAGACAAACAGAGCUUGUUCAAGAAUAAGCUGAGUGCAGAAGUCCAAGAGAUAGCAUUCAAAUACACAUAUAUGACAGUCUUAUAGGAUCACAACAUGGCAGACAUGGUUGAAUAUCAGGAGACCAAAUUAAUAGUGUUACUAAGUGUAAGUUUCAGGGAAGUCAAUGAGAAUAUUACAUUAAGGAUCUAUCAUAAGUAGUGUAUAAGAACUUAGUCAUGAUGAAGCUUAAUUUAAUACUUUAGCACAAAAAAUAAGACUUAAACACUAUAGAUGUAUCUUAAUGAGGUUUCAUAACUUAAGCUAAAAGUAGAAUAGUUUCAGAAUAUACAAAAGGGCAAGUACAGGGGUACAAUAUGUUUUAGAACAUGCUUAUACAAUGAAAUCCCAGACAUAAUUGCACAGUCAUGAGGUUCAACAAAAGACUAAUGACCUCUCAAAAGUUAAUAGAAUCACAAGAAGCACAUUGGAAAGAAGAAAUUGAUCUAAAUAUCAUUCGCUGAUGUACCUAGACUAAGGUGAUAGUCCUAUCUUUAUCAUUGAAGGAUUCAUAUCCAUUUAGGCUAGUUAUCAAGUGAAUCAUACCAAUAACACUAAGGCAAACUAGUAUGGCACACAUGAGAACCACAAUAGAACAUCAGAAGGUCUAUUAAUUAAGAGAACUAUAUGAGAUCAUUUGAAAGUUUCUUAGUUAAUAUCAAAAGCUUAACACUGUAUAAGUUAUUCAAAGACAUGUUCAUUAAGAUUACCAGAAUAAUCGAUUAGUACAUGAUUAUGAUUCCAGGUUAUCAAAGAAACUUGUACUCUAAAGUUUAGUAAUCAAUCUUGAGCUAAUGACAAAACACAUAGAGGUAAUUAACUAUAAUAUAUCAGAAAAACAGAGUGACUUAACAAGAAAACAAUAGAACAAACAUGAUUUUAAAUAAAUGAUUAAGAGAGAAGAAAGGCGGACGCUCACUGACCUUCUUUUGGGUAGCAAACCAAAUGAGAGUCUUUCUUAGCCGUUAAGAAUAAGGAACUCAAACUCCAACUAGUGUUAAACUCAUAAUCAGAAAGAAAUCAAAGGCUAGAUAGAAACCCUAGAUUGAUUUCGCUACUCAAGAACUAAAAAUUAAUGUUUCUAUGUUUGUUAAGUAAUUUUCCUGUGUAUCUUGUGUUGUUAGGUGAAGGCAUUGAAGGCUCCCUUUUAUAGUGGUAGUCAAUGUCUUAGGGUUCAACAGAAAUCAAACUCGGUUGGUAGAAGAUGACGAUGAGGUGGUGAUGUGAGCAAACGUGUAAAAAUCAAAGAAGAACAGAGGUGAAAGUAGUAGUGAUUUUACCUGAGUGGAGUGAGCCGACCGUUGAUGGCAACGAUCCAUCGGACAAAGCCCAAAAACCCAGAGGUCACCACGUUUGACCUCUGGGUAUAGAAUCUUCAUGAUGAUGUUCUAAAGAGGCUCCUCAUGUGCUUAGAUUUGGAAGAACAUAAGAGUUCUCAUACAAUUUGAGAUUUCACCCUUUUGUUUGUGAUUUCAACAUUAGGGCUAUUGAAAUUAAUUAGUGGAAACGGAAAGAAAGUAGCAAGAUUCGUAGUACAGGGACAAGAUGGAUAGCUAUGCAUGCUCGAUUUGAAAGAACAAAGAAGAAAAUCAGACGGUUUGAAGUUUCACUUUUGGUUUAGGGUUUUCGGAUUUGGGGAUUUUGAAUCUCGAUAAUGAAAGAGGAAAGAAACAGCAGCAUUCGCGGAUUUAGAUGACAAUAAGAAUGAUCUGUGGUUUGAUUCAUGACCUUGCACUAAUUUGUGCAAGGUUCUUUGACUGAUUGAGUCUGGUGAGUUGAGAGAUAUAAGAGAGAAAGGGGAAAGAGGGAGGCCGAGUCAGGUGAGAAAUGAUUAGGGUUUGGGGAUAGCUGGGGUUGGGUCUCUAUCAUUAAAUGGGGAGAUGGGAUCUGGGCCGUUGGAUCUCCUAAUCAACGACCCUGAUAAUUUGGGCAUUAAAAUUUUUUAGUGGGAAAUAUUGGCGGCCGUUGGAUUCUUGUAAUCCAACGGUUGAGAUUAAAUCUGAAGGGGUGUUUAAAUUAAAGGGAAAAUGAGAUAAAAGGAGAGCCGAUGAUCUAAAGGAUGGACGACUUUGAUCAAUUGUGUUUCUUUUGUGAGUGUUGUGGAGAGGUGACGUGGCGAGUUCUGAUUGGUUCUCAUGGAUUGAGACGGAUUGCCAAAGUGGAAAGAGAGGGGUGUUUGGACUGGAUCAGAUUUUAUUUGGGCUUGUUGUUUGGGCUGGUUUUAAUUUAUCAAAUGGCGAUUUCAUGUUUAAUUGUGCAAUUGUAAUUGUAGCCUUUUGGUCUUUAACUUUUUAAAAAUUAAUUUAAAUGAACUUAAUUAAUUUCAUAAAAUAUAAUAAGAAUUAUAAUAAUCAAAUACACUAUUAAUUAUUAUAAUUAGUUAAUUAGUUACUAAAUAUCUUAUUUUGCUAUUUACUACACUAACUUUGGAUUUAUUUUGAAAUAAUGGGCUAUUUUAUCAAAAUUGAGAAAUAACUUUGAUAAAUUAAUUAUAAACCUAUGUGAUGAAUAUGAGAGUUAUUUCAAUAGACUCAAAAUAGUAAAAGUAAUAUAUUUAUAAUUAUAUAAUACUAAAUAAUGAAUUAACAUCAUUAAUUACUUAAUUUUAUAAAAAUAGGUAUUAUUACUCAAAAAAUAUCUUUAAAAAUUUGUUGGAAACUAGUAAGUAUAAAUAAAUUAAUUUUUAUAAGGAGGAUCAAAAUUGGUCGUCAACAAAUACCACAUCACGAGCCCUCCUAUCAGCAUAACUCUUUUGCCUGGACUAUGUUGUAGGAAGCCGCUCCUGAAUCAACUUCACCUUCUCCAAAGCAUCACGGACCACAUCAGUGCCCAACAACCUAGCCUCCCCAGGCUCAAACCAACCAACUGGAGAACGACAUCGUCUCCUAUAUAAGGCCUCGUAAGGAGCCAUCUGCAUGUUCGAGUGAUAGUUGUUAUUGUGGGCUGACUCUGCGAGAGGUAGAAACUGAUCGCAUGAACCCCCGAAAUCAAUAACACAGGCACGUAACAUGUCCUCCAAUAUCUGAAAAAUGCGCUCGGACUGUCCGUUUGUCUGGGAUGAAAUGUCGUACUCAGCCAACCUAUAUACCCAACUCUCACUGCAUGGCUCUCCAAAAAUGCAAUGUGAACUGUGUGCCUCGAUCCGAGAUAAUAGACACUGGCACACCAUGAAGGUGAAAAAUCUCCCAAAUAUAAAUCCGAGCCAGCUGCUCUGAAGAGUAGGUAGUCAUGACUGGAAUAAAGUGUGCAGACUUGGUCAGUCUAUCCAUAAUAACCCACACUCCAUUGAAUCUCCUCAAGGUCCGUGGAAGUCCAACUAAUAAAUCCAUAGUGAUAUGCUCCCACUUCCACUAUGGGAUAUCAAGCCUCUGAAGCAAACCACCCGGUCUCUGAUGCUCGUAUUUCACCUGCUGACAAUUCAAACGCCGAGGCACAUACUCCACAAUAUCUUUCUUCAUUCUUCUCCACCAGUAGUGCUACCUCAAAUCAUGGUACAUCUUUGCGGCACCCGGAUGAAUGGAAUACCGCAAACUAUAGGCCUCCUCAAGUAUCAACUCACGCAACCCAUCCACAUUCGGAACACAUAUACGAACCUGCAUCCUCAACACCCCAUCAUACCCAAUAGUCACCUCCUUGGCAUCACUGUAUUGCACCGUGUGCUUAAGGACAAGCAAGUGGGGAUCAUCAUACUGACGCACCUUGAUGCGCUCAAACAAAGAAGACCGUGAAACUACACAAGCAAGAACCUAGCUAGUCUCCAAAAUAUCCAACCUCAUGAACUUGUUUGCCAAAGCCUGAACAUCCAAAGCUAAUAGUCUCUCCCCAACUGGAAUAGAAGCAAGACACUACCCAUGCUCUUAUCCUUCCUACUCAAUACAUCAACCACCACAUUGGCCUUCUCCGGAUGAUAAAGAAUAAUGAUAUCAUAGUCUUUCCUAAAGUUCAGAUCUUUUUACUUGAAUAAGUGAUGUAGACUCCUGUGAUCCCUGAACACCUCACAUGACACGCCGUAAAGAUAAUGCCUUCAAAUCUUCAGUGUGUAAACAAUGGCUGCCAACUCCAAAUCAUGCACUGGGUAGUUUUUCUCAUGGAGCUUCAACUGACUUGAAGCAUAAGCAAUCGCUCUACCCUCCUGCAUUAACACACACUUGAUGCCAAUCCAUGAAGCAUCACAAUAGACUGUGUAAGAACUUGAUGUUGAAGGCAAAACCAGAACUGGAGCUGUAGUCAAGGCAGUCUUGAGCUUCUGAAAGCUCUCCUCACACUUCUCACACUCAUCAAAGGUGUUGCAAUUGAUGAGAAGCCCUCCACGAAAUGACGAUAAUACCCAGCCAAUCCAAGGAAACUCCAGAUCUCAGUAGCAGAAGACGGUCUGGUCCAAUUCUGAACUGCCUCAAUCUUCUUCAAAUCUACCUUAAUCCCCUUACUAGACACAAUGUGGCCCAAGAAUGCCACCGAAUCAAGCCAAAACUCGCACUUGGAAUAAUUUAGCAUAUAGCUUCUUCUCCCUCAAAGUGUGGAGCACGAUCCUCAAGUGCUGCUCAUGAUCCUCCCGACUGUGAGAAUACACCAAUAUAUAAUCAAUGAACACGAUGACAAAAGAAUCAAGAUACGACUGGAACACACUGUUCAUCAAGUGCAUAAAGGCUUCUGGGGCAUUGGUCAGACCAAAAGACAUCACCAAAAACUCAUAGUGACCAUAGCGGGUCCUGAAUGAGGUCUUCGGAAUAUCUGAAGCCCUAAUCUUCAACUGAUGAUACCCUGAUCUCAAGUCAAUUUUCGAGAAUAUCGUAGCACCUUGAAGCUGAUCAAAUAAAUCAUUAAUACGCGGUAGUGGGUAUUUGUUCUUGAAUGUAACCUUGUUUAACUGCCUGUAGUCACUACAUAUCCUCAUCGAACCGUCUUUAUUCUUCAUAAGUAGAACUGGAGCACUCCUAAAGUUGUUCCUUUAAUUCCUUCAACUCCAAUAGUGCCAUACGAUAUGGUAGAAUAAAGAUGGAUUGAGUGCCCGACACCAGGUCAAUACCGAAAUUAAUAUCCCUAUCAGGUGGCAUGCUAGGUAGGUCUGCUGGGAAAAUAUCUGAAAACACUCUCACUUUUGGAACUGACUCAACGGUAGGAGUAUCAGCACUAACAUCCCUCACAAAGGCUAAGUAUGCCAAACACCCCUUCUCAACCAUCCAUCGUGCCUUCAGAAAAGAAACCACCCUACUAGGAACAUGAUCCAAUAUACCUCUCUACUCCAACUGCGGCAAACCUGGCAUAGCCAAUGUCAUAGUUUUAGCAUGACAAUCCAGGAUAGUGUGAUAUGGUGACAACUAGUUCAUGCCCAAAAGCACACCAAAGUGUACCAUAUCGAGUAACAUAAGGUCCACCCUAGUCUCAUAACCCCCGAUAGUGACCACACACAAUGGUAGACAAGAUCUACCACAAUAGAAUAUCCCAUAGGUGUAGAAACAUAAACAUGAGUACCUCAAGAAUCACGAGACACAUCCAAAUAUGAAGCACAAUAAAAUGAAACAUAUGAAUAAGUAGAAGCCGGAUCAGAUAAAAUUGAUGCAUCUCUGUGAUAGACUGGAAUAAUACCUAUAAUGACAGAAUCUGUCCUUUCAGGAAAAGAAUAACAAUGGGCCUGGCCUCCCCAUUUGGGAUGACCUCUACCGUCUGUCCUCAACCUCUAGCUGGCUAUACAGGUGGAGUAGCAACUGGAGCAGCAACCAUGACCUGAGUUUCCUGUGGAGGUCCACCACUCCUAAGUCUGGGACAAUCCCUCAAAAUAUGCCGAUAUCUCCACACUCAAAACAACCUGUAUGAGGGCGUGGCUACUGGUACUGAGUCUGACCCAGUCAGCUAGAGUAGCCACUGUAGGAAUCUCGUGCAGAAGGUGCACUGAAAGAUUGUUUUCCCGUAUGAGUAUCCUGAGGUCCCUGACUAGCUGGAGAACUACAAGUAACUUGAAGUGCAGAUUGGACUAGUCGACAGAUCUCGCCUCCAAAGUGGGAGCCCCUAAAUCCUCCAUAACUACGAGGCCUCUAAGCCUCCCUAUCCUCCCUCUCCUGACCACGAAUACGCUCUAACCUCCUAGCAAUCUCCAUAACCUGCUGGAAUGGAGUAUCAGUCUCUAGCUCCCGUGCCAUACCAAAUCUGAGACUAUAGCUGAGCCCGUCGAUAAAUAUGCAAAAUCUCUCUCUCUGACUGUAGAAACCAAAAUAGGUGCACGAUGAGAUAGCUCACUAAACCUCAUAGCAUACUCGGACACGGUCAUAGUCCCCUACUGCAACUGCUCAAACUCAAUGUGCCACGCAUCCCUAAGGGUCUGUGGAACGAACUCCCUCAAAAAUAGAUCAAAGAACUGAGCCCAAGUAAGUGGCUAUGUGUUAACUGGCCUACUCUUCUCAUAAGCCUACAACCAUCUAUAUGCUGACCCCUUCGGUUGGAAAGUAGUAAGAUCAACCUCGCUCAACUCAACAAUGCCUAUAGUGCGCAGAAUACAGUGACACUGGUCCAUAAAACCUUGUGCAUCCUCAGAAGUUGUGGCACUAAAAGUAUUGGAGGGACAUACUUCUUGAACUUCUCUUUCUCUGCUCCGCCUCUGAUGCCACUGGCCUGACCUCAAGCAAAACUAUGAUCACGGUGUUGAUACCCAAUUUUGUCCUACUUUUCUUCUGAAUACUUUUCUAGUGCUCCCUAGUCAUUAAUAAUCUAUUGUUCUAUUUUGUAAUUAUUUAUUACCUUUAUCACUACUAUUAUAAUAGUUAUAAUUAUUGAAGUGAUUACUACUAUUAUAGUCAAUGUCGUUGUUGUUGUUACUAUUAUUAUUAUUAUUAUUAUUAUUAUUAUUAUUAUUAUUAUUAUUAUUAUUAUUAUUACUACUACCACCACUACUACCAUCACCACUACUAUUGCUAUUAAAUAAUAAAAUUAUUAGUAUUAUCAUCAUUAAUUACAAAAUAUUAUUAUUACUAGUGCUAUUGUUAUUAUAUAGUGUGAUUUAAAGAUUAAGAGCCCGUUUGGAUGGGCUUAUUUUAAGUAACUUUUAAGCCAAAAUUAUUUUUAAGUCAUAAGUUAGGAUUUUUAGCUUUUUGGCUUUUGGCUUGUUUUUGUCAUUUUAACUUAAAAACAAGUACUUAAAAGCAUUUUUUUACUUUAUCCAAACACUACAAAAUAACUUAAAAGCUAUUUUGGCUUAAAAACACUUAAAAUAAGCCAAUUCAAACGGGCUCUAAGUAUUUGCACCAACUUAGAAGCUUAGAAGAAGUACAAGAAGAAAUGAGUCCAAAUAGCCCAACAAUUUCGGCCUCUUUGGAGUAGCCAUUUUUGACUUUCAACAGCCCAAAAGUCUUGCAUUUCAGCCACCUCAAAUUAGCCCAUCAGAUACAGCCCAAUUAUUUUUAGCCCAAGAUUAUCUUAAUACAUCAGCUAGGUAUUCUUGUCUUCUUUCCCCAAAAAAACGCUGCUCCUAACCCCUUUCCUCUUUCAAGCAAAGCUUCAGUAUCCUUAACUAUGGCAGGAGCUUGCCUCGUCGAUUUUGAGUAAGUUCUUUGUCUCUCUUCAGAACCCGUGACUCCUCUCUCUCUCUCUCUUUCACGUUUGCAAAGAGAUUUAGUCAACACAAGAGGCCAAAAGACUUUUGGCAUUUUGAUUUUCUGAGAUGGAAAGACUGAUUUUCAGAGAUUUGAUUCGAUCUCAUACGUCUUUCUCAGACCAAAUCACGUGAAGCCCUGCCACAACUCUAACGUUCGGAUUUGAACACUUCUUUGAAAUCCCAAUUUAAAAUCUGCCCGCCUAUAGAAACCUAGCCAUUUUUCUUGGCCUAUAAAUACAUUUCUAACUCUCUAUCUGAUGGGAUGGUGGAACACCCUCCAACGGCCUACUCUAAUACUCCUACUCUUUUUCAUGCUUCAACUCUGUGAAAAACCCAAAUAGAUAUCGCAAGCUUUACAUUUCUGUCUCUGUUGACUUUAGCAGAGAUAGAAGCUUUUCAAACUCAUUCGUUUUAAGGUUCGGAUUUGUUCGUAAUUAGAGAGUAGAUACGAGGCUCGACGACGCCCCGUUCACUGCCCCACAACAGGUAAAAUCCGACCAUGCUGUGAUUUUUCUCUUUCAUUUAAAACAGUAUGUUUUCCUAGAAAAUCAUGUAUUAAAACCUUUUAUGUUCAGACCUGUCUCUUCAAAAUUUCAUGAUUGAAUCGCGAUACUAGUUGUUGUUUUGUACUUUCAGAGCCUCUGCUGAUAAUACUUUAAUAGAAGCCAUGCCUUAAGGAUUAAAAUUUAGUUGUUGUUCAGGUAGUAAAAAUCAUGACAUUAGGACCUAUAUGGACUUUACAUGAAAGGACUCUUGUUUAGUGUGCAAUACUUUCGUCAGCAUAUAUAUAUAUAUAUAUAUAAUAUACACACACAUUGCUAUUUGAAUGGGUAAGAAUCAUAAUAUUAGAGCUAAUUAAUAUGUCCAGAAAUCAUGUCGUAUGAUUACUAAUUAGCGAAAUCAUGCUUUAGGAGAAUAUGUAUCCUCUUAUCGCAUCACUUUGCUCUACUUUCUGCUUAGGUGAUAAAAAUACGACUUUUAUGCUUAUUCCAAAGAUGUCAUGCCCAUGGGACUUUUAAAAUGUUUAUUUCAAAUAGACUUUAGCUAUCUGAGAUUACAUGUUAUCUCGUGAACAUCAUGCCUUCAUGCUUUUCUUUAAGAUUUGCAACUAAAUGUUAGCAUCUCUGUUAAUCUAAUGGUAACCUUUAAAAGGGUGUAAAAUAUGCUCGUCUGUUCAUGUAUGUUUGGUUCAACGACAGAGAAUUAUUUCAGGGCCUUACUUAAAACAAGGAACUUAAUCAUUUAUUUCUAACUUGGAACAUUACAUGAGAAUAUGUUUCUACUAAUAUGAGUUGGUCGUGUCUAAAUGCAAGAAAAGCUACUCAAUUUCAAGUCUAUAAAUUUUGCUCUUUUCCUACUUUGUUUAUUUAGCUUGUUAGAACAGUAGAUGCUUCUCUCUAAUUCAUUUACUUUCUCUGCCUUGCAUGAACACCGGAGCCGAAGAGUUUUAUGACGAAAUUCAACGAUGCUGCCACUGCAUAGAGACUGCACAUCCUCAUCUUUUCCAGUUCUUACAUCAUAUGCCCAUAAAUUAGAAGAGAAAAUCUUCUGGGAGCUGAACACGGCUCUUGAACCUUCCUUUCUGCUUCGUUUAUUUGCUUAUUCGUUGUGUGAUUAACUAGUUUUAUCCUUUAGCUGUGUGAUUGACUGUUAAGAUUUUAAUUUACUAUAUUAUCAUAGUCAAGUCUUAUUUAAUGGUGCAGUUUUUAUGAUGAAAGUACUCAUUUGUCACAUAGCACUUGCACCUAAUUUAAACUCUUUUAGAAUUACGACAUGCGUCAAAUACUAGGUGUUAAGUCUGUUAAGGUAUUAUAAAAUCAACUAUGGCUUUUUAAACUUCUUCCCUCCGCUCUACCGACUUUGUAAAAUUGAUAACUCUGCUUUAUAUGUUUUUCUUAAGAACUGAAACUAGUAGUAUUCCUAGCACAUAGAAGCUGUCAUCUUUGUUUUCUUUUCCUGUUUCAUAUAUUCAAGAUAGCAUUGUUUUCUUUACUUUCUCUAAAAACCAUUUUGAACUAAUAGUUACUUGUCUGAUUUUUCUUUUAAAAGUUUGGAGUUAACAGGUUAAGAUAGAUUGACUUUGGGACAGUGUUUGAACGAGAGCUCAUACUAGUUUAAGAAAUCCUUUUCUCAAAUCUUGAUUAAGAGUUAAAGUAACUACUGUUUGAGUCCAAACUUAAGGUUACCAUAUUUAUUUUAUAAACACUGUCAGUUAUUUAUCCUUUUUAUUUUUAGAAACUAAUAUAUUCUUUUUUACAUUACAAUAAGGCCUUAAUUAACGUUAGUCCGGUUGGUUAACCAUUUUAAUAUGGAUCUUAAAGGGUGCCUUAAAAACCUUCCCUUUAGAUUAAUUGAACCCUUACCUAGAAUCUUUAGGUUAAGUAGACCAAUAACAGAGUUAUACUUUAAAUAUUACUACGA